This 72732-nucleotide long non-coding RNA is filed under the name Setaria viridis. Its description in RNAcentral is "long non-coding RNA (SVIR_LNC010032)". The record is from RNAcentral. Lineage: Eukaryota; Viridiplantae; Streptophyta; Magnoliopsida; Poales; Poaceae.
AUAAUAAUAAUAAUCAUGUUUCCAUAAAAUUGCUAAGUCCAGAGAUAAUACAUAAACAUAGUAGACUGUUCAUGACACAUAUCACGGUGGACAGUGUUUGUGUCCUUAUUACAAGCAACGAGAGAUGCUCGUCACCAACACGCGCGCGCACAGAUGCACGACAUACAUAUAGUAGAGACCAACAGAUGGUCGUCCCAUAUGGUGAACAAUUUAUUGGGGAUAAAUAUUAACGUAACUUGGCCAUAGCUUGAAGCAUAGCAACAUAUGCCUAUGAGUGGCAUUCAUGCUAUCGUUUUAGGCUUGUCCAGCUCCUUCCAUCUUAGCAAGCACUUCCAUUUCUACCAUCUUAGCAGCAACUGUCAAAUUGAGAUACGGAAAUCCCAUUAGCGCAUGAGUUAAUUUUGCAGUGGAAAUAGAGUACAAGAUGUCUUCAUGAUGUAAGUAAUAUGCCUGAAGUUGUGAGAUGGGAAGUGAAGUCAACAAAUUACAUUAACGGAAAUGCAUGGAAGGCCACACAUACGUAUUAGUCCAUGAUAUGCUACAAAGCUUGUAUGUACAUAUAGCAAAUUAAAUGCAUUAAUUGAAUAGAGUGUGUUUAGUGAAUUUACCAGAAUCGUCCAGAAAACAUGGGAAACAGCAAGUGUUCUUGCAGACUGCGUCGGAGGCACCCGCACGAAUACAAAGCUGACAACAUAGUUUUGCCUGGGCGGAUGCGCAGCAGCCGCACUCCGCCGCGGUGGGGUUAACAUUGAGGCUCAAGAUGACCAGGCACAUGAUCACCAUCAAAGUGGUAGUCCUCUUUCCCUCCAUUGCCUCCUCUUAGCUUGCUGCUACCUUCCUUGGUUACCUAGCUAAGUUUAUUGGUUUUGUGUUGAGAGGUGUGAUUUUUGAAUGGACGUUGCCGGCGGCAAUUUAUAGGCAGCUGAGCUAUGUGAUGAUAUGGACUAGGUGCAAAUGGGUGGUUAAUGGCAAGGAAAGGGGCGUCAGACAAAGCCCAAUGGCAACUGCUGACAUGCGAUUAAAUUCAGAUCCACAUCCGGCCAUUCAAUAAUACGGUUGGAGUUGUGGCACAGAUAUAUUAUUGCAUGAUCAUCAAGAUAAGAUCGUACAGUGACUGAGUGAGACAAUAAAUAGCCAAGUAAACUAUUUUAUCCUGCUGCAAGCUGCAUUCAUAAGUUUAUUUCACCUUUGAUCACAAUACUCUUCACACACGUACGUCUCAGGGAGAUCUCACUUCCGCUGGACUGCUCACUUCCGCUGUCGUCGGUACUGCCAAAGACAUAAGCUCACAUCUGCUAUUGCGGAGCAGGCCAAUUUGCUGCGGAACUUCGGCGACGACCUGAAGGACAUGAACUCGGUGCUGGAGUCCAUCUCAGCAGCGCUCUAGGACGCUGACACCGGUAGAAAAACGACCUUCCAUCGUCAACAAAAAUCCCGGUAGCUUUUUUACUCGGUACUAAAGAGGUUUUAAUCUCGUGCAAACACCUUUAGUCCAGAUUGCUAUUACCACGCAACCCGGACUAAAGCGUCCCCCGCGAGUUAGUAUAUAAGGAUUGCAUCCUUUACUCAGUCAGAUAUAAUAUGUAGGUGAGAUGGUAAGGAAGCUAUGCGUGAGGCUUCAGGUUGUGGGUUCGAAUCCAAGUGGGUGCAGCUGUGGCUUAAGCGGCUGAGGCACGCCGCCAUAGACAUCUCAGAUUUGCUCGAAGACUACCAAGACACUAGUGAACCCUUAACAGUAAAGGUGAGUACUUAUGAAUGUCAGCAUCCAUGUUGUCCAUGCUUCCAAUGUAAUAACAAGAUGGACUACUCUUCCUAGCGGACUCUUCACAACCACUCGUAAAGCUAUGCGUUUCUCAAUGCAAUUUCGUAGAAGCCAAUCGAUCCAACCAAGUGACUAAAUCAUUCGUCCUUUCCAAUGAUGUGCAUCAGGUUUUCUAUAUGAAGGGCAUGUCUAGCAAACCUAAGAUUUCAGAAGAAAAAGAAAAAUCAUUGGAGCCAAAGAGCCACAUAGUUCUUCUAGGAAAAAAAUCAUGGGAGUCGAGAACAUAUCAAACCAAUCAGGGGAUUAUGGUCAGCUUAAUGGCAUGCCUCCAUUCGAUGUCGAAGUUCACCCAAGCAUCAUGUUAGCCAAACAUCAAAUGUUCGUGCGUUGUUACGGUAAAGAUCAAUUGUGUUUUUUAAACUCUUGGAAUUUUUUUAUCUAAGUUUUUAUUUACACUUAUUGGAUGUCUACACAUUUGCUAGAAAACUAAAAUAAUUUGGACUUAAUUAUUUCUUUCAACUGAAGUACUCACUAAAUUUCUACCUUUUUAUUUAAGCAAGAGAGUUGCUAAAAAAAAUGGAUACGUAACCAUGUUGUAUCAUACAAAGUAACCACGUUUCACAUAUAGUCCGGCUUAGCAAACACCAUUGUUUUCUGAACAUAGCGUACAUGAGUUAACAGACAUGGAUUUAUUUCUAUUGCAAGUAGCAUAGCGUACAACCUGCCUGCACCGAUGCAGCUCAAUAUGCGAUAAUUUUUAUCUUCCCAUGUAAUUUUUCUACUCUAGUACAUAUUGAACUCCACAUUAAUGUCAUGUUCUUUCGCGCCCCAGAAGGUUCCUAAAGUUUGGAAACUUAAUAGAUAGCCAGAAUUUUUUUUAAAGAUAUUUAUAUGGAUACUUGUAUGUUCUUUCCAAACUAACAAUAUUGUUUACCAAUAUCAGAAGGAAUAUGGUUAGGAGCCAUUGCCGCAUAUGGCAGGUGAUGGUAGAUGGCGUAUGGGGUUUCGUUAAUUUAAUGGUAUAAUAAGCUGAAAUACAUUUUCUAUUUGCAAAUGAAUCAUAGCUGAAAUUGGUGGGAUUGUUUUUUCGCCGGUUUAGCAUCCUGUGCACCAGUUCAACCGGAGGGAAGCUGUUUUUUUUCUUUGGUUUUCCACCGGUUCACCGAGACCGAUGACAAUUUUAUGGCAGAAUCAUUACUUGUUUUACUAUUAGGUGAAGAUUUUAGCGUUUAGGUAUCUCACAUUAAACGCAACUUCAACAAUCUAUUUCUAGUGUAUAAUGUAGGAGACCCCGUAAAGAGUCUACACACACAUAUAUGUUGACUAUGAAUGUAAGUUUGUUGGUUUUAUGUAUGUUCGUUUGGAGUUUAUAUAAAUUUUACAUUUUAUAGUUUUGUGUAUAUGACGAAGAUCCAUGACUUGCAUUAAUUUAGCCUUUCUUCCAACAACUCUUAUGCAUGCUGUUUCUAGGCGAGCGUACUGGUUGCAAUUUUGGUCCCCGAUAUAGUGUGAGGACUUAAGGGACACGUGCAGGUCGUAACCUUAGAUAUUUUUGCUGAGAAUGGAUGAAGAAGCAAUAAUAUACUUUGCUUCUGAUUUUCUCCAUGUCAUUUGCUUACUCUUAUCCCUUUUAUUUAUCAUUAUAAGAUGAAAAUAUUGUAAAAACUUGGCUACGUGCGGUCGCAGAAGCUAGAGACUAAAGCGUCCCCCACGAGUUACUAUAUAAAAGGAUUGCAUCCUCUACUCAGUCAUAUGUACUGUGUAGGUGAGAUGGUAAGGAAGCUAUGUGUGAGGCUUGAGGUUGUAGGUUCGAAUCCCACGCACCGCGUGCGCAUGCGCAUAUUUUGCGUGAAAAAUCGCAUGACUUGUGGUCGGCCAAGGAGAAGUGCGUGCGGCUGAGGCACGCCGCCAUAGACAUCUCGGAUUUGCUCCAAGACUACCAAGACACUAGCGAACCCUUAACGGCAAAGUUGAGUACUUACGCGUGUUAGCAUCUAUGUUGUCCAUGCUUCCAAUGCAAUAACAAGAAGGGCUACUCAUCCUAGCGGAUUCUUCACAACCACUCGUAAAGCUAUGCGUUUCUCAAUGCAAUUUCGUAGAUGUCAAUCGAUCCAACCAAGCGACUGAAUCAUUCGUCCUUGCUAAUGAUGUGCAUCAGGUUUUCUAUAUGAAGAACAUGUCUAGCAAAUCCAAGAUUUCAGAAGAAAAAUAAAAAUCAUGAGAACCAAAGCACCACGUAGUUCUUCCAGGUAAAAAAAACAAUCAUCCACUGGGAUGACACACAGUAGCGAUCCAAAACGUCCAUAUUAAGACUUUUUGAUAGCAGAAAAAACAUGAAAAUGUCUAAUAUUUGUAGUAUUAAAAGGAAAAAUAAUAUAUUCACUUGACCUUUUUUUCGUAGCAACGCACCGGUGCGUAGUCAGACUUAGGCCACGUUUGGAUACUCCCUACUAAAGUUUAGCACCUGUCACAUAGGAUGUUUGGAUACUAAUUAGGAGUAUUAAACAUAGGCUAAUUAUAAAACUAAUUGAAUAGAUGGAGUCUAAUUUGCGAGACGAAUCUAUUAAGCCUAACUAGUCCAUGAUUUGACAAUGUGGUGCUACAGUAACCAUUUGCUAAUGGUGGAUUAAUUAGGCUUAAUAGAUUCGUCUCGCGAAUUAACAUAGGGUUCUGCAAUUAAUUUUAUAAUUAGCUCAUGUCUAGUCCUUCUAAUUAGCAUCCGAACAUCUGAUAUGAUACUGCUAAAGUUUAUCACCUAGUAUCCAAAUACCCCCUUAAUGCACGAUGCCUGUGCAUCCACUGGGCCUACCCUCGUGGAUCACGCGCUCGUGGAUCACGCGCACCAUGACAUGGCUCAUUAGCUAGUCGUGCUAAUCCUUACCACCAAAUUAAAAACUAGCAUGUGUUGUGUGUUUGUGACCCUAAACGACUACCACCUUCCCGAGUCCACCGGAGUUGCCAGUUCACCACUAAGCUGACUCUCCGAGCUUCAUGUCACUGUCACCGCUCCAAAGACCUAGAUCGGUUCGCUGUGCACCCCGCUUCGUCCUGAGCUAAAUCCCAUCACGAAAGGUGACCGGAUGCUCGUUUUCGAGCGAAUUCUAGCGAGAUUGCCACCACCUUUCCCCUUCCAGCCGAUCGCAGCUGUCUGAUCACAAACCGACAGCCCAGAUCGGAUUUGACCAGGUCAAUACCGGUCAAGCCGAGAUGCAUGCUGCUUUUGCAAGAAGGCCCCUAUUUUUCUCUCGUUUUGCACUUGAGGUCCUACGCAGUUCAAAAGUAAUUAGAUCUAGAUCCUUUUUCUUCUGUUUUAGCCCUGUUCUUUUAUAAAAUCCCACCCGCCAUCCUGUUUGGUAUUUUGACAUGUUAGACCUUCUAUUUAUAUGUUUAAUUAGGUUUUAGCCCUUGGUUUCUUUAAGUUUAGCUCUUGGAAGUUUAGUUUUCUCGCAGUUAAGCCCCUGAACCUUGUUUAGUUCAUAUCUUUAGCGUUUUAAAUCCGUUUUAAGAGAUUCUUACGCCCAUAAGUUCGUGUUGAUGCAUAGAUUAGUUGACUUAUACGGACCUUGCUGAUUCAGCUCCUUCAUUGUGCUUCAGAUCUCGCUAGUGAAGAAUAAUGGAUGGGCUUUGGUUGAGCUUGUAGAUCGACCUGCAGUUGCAGUGAAUGUGCUGAGGACUGGCGGUACCAAUAAUGGGAGGCCGCUGCUCUGCUUGCUACCAAGGCCUGCGACGCUUGGACGCCAUUCAGAGUGCAUAAUUUCCAAGGAUCUCAAGGGCUCCACACCACGUUCCAAGUGUUUUUUCUUUGCCGAGUGUUUUUAGCUCGGCACUUGGCAAAGAGCUUGUUUGCCGAGUGUCCGAAAAAAACACUUGGCAAAGAGAAAACACUCGGCAAAUUUGAUGUUUCCCGUAGUGAUGUACUAUUCAAACUUGAACUGGGAUGCAGGCUUCAGUACCAAAGAGAGCUCUGGGCGCGGGUGAGCAGUGAGCUGGCCGGGCAGGGAGCUCCAAAGCGACAGCAACAAAGAGAGAAAUGCUAAGAGUAAGAACGACACACGAGGUCACUUCACAUAGAUAAUAGCAGUACGAACCAUACAAUAUCCUCUCUCAGUUUCACUCCGCCUCACACACGGCUAGCACACCAUGCAUGCCGAUUUCAUAUUAUUAAUAUUAUUUUUUGGAUGGUUGUUGAAACUAUAUAUAUAGUUAGUCCAAUCUCACGUUUCCGAUUAUAAAAAUCAACGUAAAGAGAUCGGUAGGGAGAGCCGGCAUAAUGAAGCCGACGCGUGUAAUAAGCACCAGAGCCGGCAUUUAUACAAACUGGUACGAAUAGUAAAAAACUAGAAUUUAUAAAUAAAAAAAUGAUUUGCACAUCUAUGCAAUAAUUAGGGGUUAGUGGCAGGUCUAGAGAGAUAUCUCAUCAUUAUAUCCGGUUUAACGAGGAUAAAAAAGAGUGUAUUUUCCACUCAUCAUGUUGUCUUUUCGCAGCGGUACCACUUUUCGUGUGUUGUAUCGGUCCCCUAAUACGGAGUCUCCGAGGCCCGAGAAAAUAAGGAAAGUGAUAGUAGCCCAGAAAUCGGCCAAGUUUCUUUCCCCUUUGGCUUUCCUACUAGGAUUCAGAAUCCUCUUUCGCAUGACAAUCUUAAUUAUCUCCCAUACUCCAAAACUCACAAAAACAUCAAGAGUCCGCUGAGAAUAAAUUUAAGUAAAAAACAUGCACACACAGAUAAUAAUAAUAAUCAUGUUUCCAUAAAAUUGCUAAGUCCAGAGAUAAUACAUAAACAUAGUAGACUGUUCAUGACACAUAUCACGGUGGACAGUGUUUGUGUCCUUAUUACAAGCAACGAGAGAUGCUCGUCACCAACACGCGCGCGCACAGAUGCACGACAUACAUAUAGUAGAGACCAACAGAUGGUCGUCCCAUAUGGUGAACAAUUUAUUGGAGAUAAAUAUUAACGUAACUUGGCCAUAGCUUGAAGCAUAGCAACAUAUGCCUAUGAGUGGCAUUCAUGCUAUCGUUUUAGGCUUGUCCAGCUCCUUCCAUCUUAGCAAGCACUUCCAUUUCUACCAUCUUAGCAGCAACUGUCAAAUUGAGAUACGGAAAUCCCAUUAGCGCAUGAGUUAAUUUUGCAGUGGAAAUAGAGUACAAGAUGUCUUCAUGAUGUAAGUAAUAUGCCUGAAGUUGUGAGAUGGGAAGUGAAGUCAACAAAUUACAUUAACGGAAAUGCAUGGAAGGCCACACAUACGUAUUAGUCCAUGAUAUGCUACAAAGCUUGUAUGUACAUAUAGCAAAUUAAAUGCAUUAAUUGAAUAGAGUGUGUUUAGUGAAUUUACCAGAAUCGUCCAGAAAACAUGGGAAACAGCAAGUGUUCUUGCAGACUGCGUCGGAGGCACCCGCACGAAUACAAAGCUGACAACAUAGUUUUGCCUGGGCGGAUGCGCAGCAGCCGCACUCCGCCGCGGUGGGGUUAACAUUGAGGCUCAAGAUGACCAGGCACAUGAUCACCAUCAAAGUGGUAGUCCUCUUUCCCUCCAUUGCCUCCUCUUAGCUUGCUGCUACCUUCCUUGGUUACCUAGCUAAGUUUAUUGGUUUUGUGUUGAGAGGUGUGAUUCUUGAAUGGACGUUGCCGGCGGCAAUUUAUAGGCAGCUGAGCUAUGUGAUGAUAUGGACUAGGUGCAAAUGGGUGGUUAAUGGCAAGGAAAGGGGCGUCAGACAAAGCCCAAUGGCAACUGCUGACAUGCGAUUAAAUUCAGAUCCACAUCCGGCCAUUCAAUAAUACGGUUGGAGUUGUGGCACAGAUAUAUUAUUGCAUGAUCAUCAAGAUAAGAUCGUACAGUGACUGAGUGAGACAAUAAAUAGCCAAGUAAACUAUUUUAUCCUGCUGCAAGCUGCAUUCAUAAGUUUAUUUCACCUUUGAUCACAAUACUCUUCACACACGUACGUCUCAGGGAGAUCUCACUUCCGCUGGACUGCUCACUUCCGCUGUCGUCGGUACUGCCAAAGACAUAAGCUCACAUCUGCUAUUGCGGAGCAGGCCAAUUUGCUGCGGAACUUCGGCGACGACCUGAAGGACAUGAACUCGGUGCUGGAGUCCAUCUCAGCAGCGCUCUAGGACGCUGACACCGGUAGAAAAACGACCUUCCAUCGUCAACAAAAAUCCCGGUAGCUUUUUUACUCGGUACUAAAGAGGUUUUAAUCUCGUGCAAACACCUUUAGUCCAGAUUGCUAUUACCACGCAACCCGGACUAAAGCGUCCCCCGCGAGUUAGUAUAUAAGGAUUGCAUCCUUUACUCAGUCAGAUAUAAUAUGUAGGUGAGAUGGUAAGGAAGCUAUGCGUGAGGCUUCAGGUUGUGGGUUCGAAUCCAAGUGGGUGCAGCUGUGGCUUAAGCGGCUGAGGCACGCCGCCAUAGACAUCUCAGAUUUGCUCGAAGACUACCAAGACACUAGUGAACCCUUAACAGUAAAGGUGAGUACUUAUGAAUGUCAGCAUCCAUGUUGUCCAUGCUUCCAAUGUAAUAACAAGAUGGACUACUCUUCCUAGCGGACUCUUCACAACCACUCGUAAAGCUAUGCGUUUCUCAAUGCAAUUUCGUAGAAGCCAAUCGAUCCAACCAAGUGACUAAAUCAUUCGUCCUUUCCAAUGAUGUGCAUCAGGUUUUCUAUAUGAAGGGCAUGUCUAGCAAACCUAAGAUUUCAGAAGAAAAAGAAAAAUCAUUGGAGCCAAAGAGCCACAUAGUUCUUCUAGGAAAAAAAUCAUGGGAGUCGAGAACAUAUCAAACCAAUCAGGGGAUUAUGGUCAGCUUAAUGGCAUGCCUCCAUUCGAUGUCGAAGUUCACCCAAGCAUCAUGUUAGCCAAACAUCAAAUGUUCGUGCGUUGUUACGGUAAAGAUCAAUUGUGUUUUUUAAACUCUUGGAAUUUUUUUAUCUAAGUUUUUAUUUACACUUAUUGGAUGUCUACACAUUUGCUAGAAAACUAAAAUAAUUUGGACUUAAUUAUUUCUUUCAACUGAAGUACUCACUAAAUUUCUACCUUUUUAUUUAAGCAAGAGAGUUGCUAAAAAAAAUGGAUACGUAACCAUGUUGUAUCAUACAAAGUAACCACGUUUCACAUAUAGUCCGGCUUAGCAAACACCAUUGUUUUCUGAACAUAGCGUACAUGAGUUAACAGACAUGGAUUUAUUUCUAUUGCAAGUAGCAUAGCGUACAACCUGCCUGCACCGAUGCAGCUCAAUAUGCGAUAAUUUUUAUCUUCCCAUGUAAUUUUUCUACUCUAGUACAUAUUGAACUCCACAUUAAUGUCAUGUUCUUUCGCGCCCCAGAAGGUUCCUAAAGUUUGGAAACUUAAUAGAUAGCCAGAAUUUUUUUUAAAGAUAUUUAUAUGGAUACUUGUAUGUUCUUUCCAAACUAACAAUAUUGUUUACCAAUAUCAGAAGGAAUAUGGUUAGGAGCCAUUGCCGCAUAUGGCAGGUGAUGGUAGAUGGCGUAUGGGGUUUCGUUAAUUUAAUGGUAUAAUAAGCUGAAAUACAUUUUCUAUUUGCAAAUGAAUCAUAGCUGAAAUUGGUGGGAUUGUUUUUUCGCCGGUUUAGCAUCCUGUGCACCAGUUCAACCGGAGGGAAGCUGUUUUUUUUCUUUGGUUUUCCACCGGUUCACCGAGACCGAUGACAAUUUUAUGGCAGAAUCAUUACUUGUUUUACUAUUAGGUGAAGAUUUUAGCGUUUAGGUAUCUCACAUUAAACGCAACUUCAACAAUCUAUUUCUAGUGUAUAAUGUAGGAGACCCCGUAAAGAGUCUACACACACAUAUAUGUUGACUAUGAAUGUAAGUUUGUUGGUUUUAUGUAUGUUCGUUUGGAGUUUAUAUAAAUUUUACAUUUUAUAGUUUUGUGUAUAUGACGAAGAUCCAUGACUUGCAUUAAUUUAGCCUUUCUUCCAACAACUCUUAUGCAUGAUGUUUCUAGGCGAGCGUACUGGUUGCAAUUUUGGUCCCCGAUAUAGUGUGAGGACUUAAGGGACACGUGCAGGUCGUAACCUUAGAUAUUUUUGCUGAGAAUGGAUGAAGAAGCAAUAAUAUACUUUGCUUCUGAUUUUCUCCAUGUCAUUUGCUUACUCUUAUCCCUUUUAUUUAUCAUUAUAAGAUGAAAAUAUUGUAAAAACUUGGCUACGUGCGGUCGCAGAAGCUAGAGACUAAAGCGUCCCCCACGAGUUACUAUAUAAAAGGAUUGCAUCCUCUACUCAGUCAUAUGUACUGUGUAGGUGAGAUGGUAAGGAAGCUAUGUGUGAGGCUUGAGGUUGUAGGUUCGAAUCCCACGCACCGCGUGCGCAUGCGCAUAUUUUGCGUGAAAAAUCGCAUGACUUGUGGUCGGCCAAGGAGAAGUGCGUGCGGCUGAGGCACGCCGCCAUAGACAUCUCGGAUUUGCUCCAAGACUACCAAGACACUAGCGAACCCUUAACGGCAAAGUUGAGUACUUACGCGUGUUAGCAUCUAUGUUGUCCAUGCUUCCAAUGCAAUAACAAGAAGGGCUACUCAUCCUAGCGGAUUCUUCACAACCACUCGUAAAGCUAUGCGUUUCUCAAUGCAAUUUCGUAGAUGUCAAUCGAUCCAACCAAGCGACUGAAUCAUUCGUCCUUGCUAAUGAUGUGCAUCAGGUUUUCUAUAUGAAGAACAUGUCUAGCAAAUCCAAGAUUUCAGAAGAAAAAUAAAAAUCAUGAGAACCAAAGCACCACGUAGUUCUUCCAGGUAAAAAAAACAAUCAUCCACUGGGAUGACACACAGUAGCGAUCCAAAACGUCCAUAUUAAGACUUUUUGAUAGCAGAAAAAACAUGAAAAUGUCUAAUAUUUGUAGUAUUAAAAGGAAAAAUAAUAUAUUCACUUGACCUUUUUUUCGUAGCAACGCACCGGUGCGUAGUCAGACUUAGGCCACGUUUGGAUACUCCCUACUAAAGUUUAGCACCUGUCACAUAGGAUGUUUGGAUACUAAUUAGGAGUAUUAAACAUAGGCUAAUUAUAAAACUAAUUGAACAGAUGGAGUCUAAUUUGCGAGACGAAUCUAUUAAGCCUAACUAGUCCAUGAUUUGACAAUGUGGUGCUACAGUAACCAUUUGCUAAUGGUGGAUUAAUUAGGCUUAAUAGAUUCGUCUCGCGAAUUAACAUAGGGUUCUGCAAUUAAUUUUAUAAUUAGCUCAUGUCUAGUCCUUCUAAUUAGCAUCCGAACAUCUGAUAUGAUACUGCUAAAGUUUAUCACCUAGUAUCCAAAUACCCCCUUAAUGCACGAUGCCUGUGCAUCCACUGGGCCUACCCUCGUGGAUCACGCGCUCGUGGAUCACGCGCACCAUGACAUGGCUCAUUAGCUAGUCGUGCUAAUCCUUACCACCAAAUUAAAAACUAGCAUGUGUUGUGUGUUUGUGACCCUAAACGACUACCACCUUCCCGAGUCCACCGGAGUUGCCAGUUCACCACUAAGCUGACUCUCCGAGCUUCAUGUCACUGUCACCGCUCCAAAGACCUAGAUCGGUUCGCUGUGCACCCCGCUUCGUCCUGAGCUAAAUCCCAUCACGAAAGGUGACCGGAUGCUCGUUUUCGAGCGAAUUCUAGCGAGAUUGCCACCACCUUUCCCCUUCCAGCCGAUCGCAGCUGUCUGAUCACAAACCGACAGCCCAGAUCGGAUUUGACCAGGUCAAUACCGGUCAAGCCGAGAUGCAUGCUGCUUUUGCAAGAAGGCCCCUAUUUUUCUCUCUUUUUGCACUUGAGGUCCUACGCAGUUCAAAAGUAAUUAGAUCUAGAUCCUUUUUCUUCUGUUUUAGCCCUGUUCUUUUAUAAAAUCCCACCCGCCAUCCUGUUUGGUAUUUUGACAUGUUAGACCUUCUAUUUAUAUGUUUAAUUAGGUUUUAGCCCUUGGUUUCUUUAAGUUUAGCUCUUGGAAGUUUAGUUUUCUCGCAGUUAAGCCCCUGAACCUUGUUUAGUUCAUAUCUUUAGCGUUUUAAAUCCGUUUUAAGAGAUUCUUACGCCCAUAAGUUCGUGUUGAUGCAUAGAUUAGUUGACUUAUACGGACCUUGCUGAUUCAGCUCCUUCAUUGUGCUUCAGAUCUCGCUAGUGAAGAAUAAUGGAUGGGCUUUGGUUGAGCUUGUAGAUCGACCUGCAGUUGCAGUGAAUGUGCUGAGGACUGGCGGUACCAAUAAUGGGAGGCCGCUGCUCUGCUUGCUACCAAGGCCUGCGACGCUUGGACGCCAUUCAGAGUGCAUAAUUUCCAAGGAUCUCAAGGGCUCCACACCACGUUCCAAGUGUUUUUUCUUUGCCGAGUGUUUUUAGCUCGGCACUUGGCAAAGAGCUUGUUUGCCGAGUGUCCGAAAAAAACACUUGGCAAAGAGAAAACACUCGGCAAAUUUGAUGUUUCCCGUAGUGAUGUACUAUUCAAACUUGAACUGGGAUGCAGGCUUCAGUACCAAAGAGAGCUCUGGGCGCGGGUGAGCAGUGAGCUGGCCGGGCAGGGAGCUCCAAAGCGACAGCAACAAAGAGAGAAAUGCUAAGAGUAAGAACGACACACGAGGUCACUUCACAUAGAUAAUAGCAGUACGAACCAUACAAUAUCCUCUCUCAGUUUCACUCCGCCUCACACACGGCUAGCACACCAUGCAUGCCGAUUUCAUAUUAUUAAUAUUAUUUUUUGGAUGGUUGUUGAAACUAUAUAUAUAGUUAGUCCAAUCUCACGUUUCCGAUUAUAAAAAUCAACGUAAAGAGAUCGGUAGGGAGAGCCGGCAUAAUGAAGCCGACGCGUGUAAUAAGCACCAGAGCCGGCAUUUAUACAAACUGGUACGAAUAGUAAAAAACUAGAAUUUAUAAAUAAAAAAAUGAUUUGCACAUCUAUGCAAUAAUUAGGGGUUAGUGGCAGGUCUAGAGAGAUAUCUCAUCAUUAUAUCCGGUUUAACGAGGAUAAAAAAGAGUGUAUUUUCCACUCAUCAUGUUGUCUUUUCGCAGCGGUACCACUUUUCGUGUGUUGUAUCGGUCCCCUAAUACGGAGUCUCCGAGGCCCGAGAAAAUAAGGAAAGUGAUAGUAGCCCAGAAAUCGGCCAAGUUUCUUUCCCCUUUGGCUUUCCUACUAGGAUUCAGAAUCCUCUUUCGCAUGACAAUCUUAAUUAUCUCCCAUACUCCAAAACUCACAAAAACAUCAAGAGUCCGCUGAGAAUAAAUUUAAGUAAAAAACAUGCACACACAGAUAAUAAUAAUAAUCAUGUUUCCAUAAAAUUGCUAAGUCCAGAGAUAAUACAUAAACAUAGUAGACUGUUCAUGACACAUAUCACGGUGGACAGUGUUUGUGUCCUUAUUACAAGCAACGAGAGAUGCUCGUCACCAACACGCGCGCGCACAGAUGCACGACAUACAUAUAGUAGAGACCAACAGAUGGUCGUCCCAUAUGGUGAACAAUUUAUUGGAGAUAAAUAUUAACGUAACUUGGCCAUAGCUUGAAGCAUAGCAACAUAUGCCUAUGAGUGGCAUUCAUGCUAUCGUUUUAGGCUUGUCCAGCUCCUUCCAUCUUAGCAAGCACUUCCAUUUCUACCAUCUUAGCAGCAACUGUCAAAUUGAGAUACGGAAAUCCCAUUAGCGCAUGAGUUAAUUUUGCAGUGGAAAUAGAGUACAAGAUGUCUUCAUGAUGUAAGUAAUAUGCCUGAAGUUGUGAGAUGGGAAGUGAAGUCAACAAAUUACAUUAACGGAAAUGCAUGGAAGGCCACACAUACGUAUUAGUCCAUGAUAUGCUACAAAGCUUGUAUGUACAUAUAGCAAAUUAAAUGCAUUAAUUGAAUAGAGUGUGUUUAGUGAAUUUACCAGAAUCGUCCAGAAAACAUGGGAAACAGCAAGUGUUCUUGCAGACUGCGUCGGAGGCACCCGCACGAAUACAAAGCUGACAACAUAGUUUUGCCUGGGCGGAUGCGCAGCAGCCGCACUCCGCCGCGGUGGGGUUAACAUUGAGGCUCAAGAUGACCAGGCACAUGAUCACCAUCAAAGUGGUAGUCCUCUUUCCCUCCAUUGCCUCCUCUUAGCUUGCUGCUACCUUCCUUGGUUACCUAGCUAAGUUUAUUGGUUUUGUGUUGAGAGGUGUGAUUCUUGAAUGGACGUUGCCGGCGGCAAUUUAUAGGCAGCUGAGCUAUGUGAUGAUAUGGACUAGGUGCAAAUGGGUGGUUAAUGGCAAGGAAAGGGGCGUCAGACAAAGCCCAAUGGCAACUGCUGACAUGCGAUUAAAUUCAGAUCCACAUCCGGCCAUUCAAUAAUACGGUUGGAGUUGUGGCACAGAUAUAUUAUUGCAUGAUCAUCAAGAUAAGAUCGUACAGUGACUGAGUGAGACAAUAAAUAGCCAAGUAAACUAUUUUAUCCUGCUGCAAGCUGCAUUCAUAAGUUUAUUUCACCUUUGAUCACAAUACUCUUCACACACGUACGUCUCAGGGAGAUCUCACUUCCGCUGGACUGCUCACUUCCGCUGUCGUCGGUACUGCCAAAGACAUAAGCUCACAUCUGCUAUUGCGGAGCAGGCCAAUUUGCUGCGGAACUUCGGCGACGACCUGAAGGACAUGAACUCGGUGCUGGAGUCCAUCUCAGCAGCGCUCUAGGACGCUGACACCGGUAGAAAAACGACCUUCCAUCGUCAACAAAAAUCCCGGUAGCUUUUUUACUCGGUACUAAAGAGGUUUUAAUCUCGUGCAAACACCUUUAGUCCGGAUUGCUGUUACCACGCAACCCGAACUAAAGCGUCCCCCACGAGUUACUAUAUAAGGAUUGCAUCCUUUACUCAGUCAGAUAUAAUGUGUAGGUGAGAUGGUAAGGAAGCUAUACGUGAGGCUUCAGGUUGUGGGUUCGAAUCCAAGGAGAAGUGGGUGCAGCUGUGGCUUAAGCGGCUGAGGCACGCCGCCAUAGACAUCUCAGAUUUGCUCGAAGACUACCAAGACACUAGUGAACCCUUAACAGUAAAGGUGAGUACUUAUGAAUGUCAGCAUCCAUGUUGUCCAUGCUUCCAAUGUAAUAACAAGAUGGACUACUCUUCCUAGCGGACUCUUCACAACCACUCGUAAAGCUAUACGUUUCUCAAUGCAAUUUCGUAGAAGCCAAUCGAUCCAACCAAGUGACUAAAUCAUUCAUCCUUUCCAAUGAUGUGCAUCAGGUUUUCUACAUGAAGGGCAUCUCUAGCAAACCCAAGAUUUCAGAAGAAAAAGAAAAAUCAUUGGAGCCAAAGAGCCACAUAGUUCUUCCAGGAAAAAAAAAUCAUGGGAGUCGAGAACAAAUCAAACCAAUCAGAGGAUUAUGGUCAGCUUAAUGGCAUGCCUCCAUUCGAUGUCGAAGUUCACCCAAGCAUCAUGUUAGCCAAACAUCAAAUGUUCGUGCGUUGUUACGGUAAAGAUCAAUUGUGUUUUUUAAACUCAUGGAAUUUUUUUUCUAAGUUUUUAUUACACUUAUUGGAUGUCUACACAUUUGCUAGAAAACCAAAAUAAUUUGGACUUAAUUAUUUCUUUCAACUGAAGUACUCACUAAAUUUCUACCUUUUUAUUUAAGCAAGAGAGUUGCUAAAAAAAAUGGAUACAUAACCAUGUUGUAUCGUACAAAGCAACCACAUUUCACAUAUAGUCCGGCUUACCAAACACCAUUUUUUACUGAACAUAGCGUACAUGAGUUAAGAGACAUGGAUUUAUUUCUAUUGCAAGUAGCAUAGCGUACAACCUGCCUGCACCGAUGCAGCUCAAUAUGCGAUAAUUUUUAUCUUCCCAUGUAAUUUUUCUACUCUAGUACAUAUUGAACUCCACAUUAAUGUCAUGUUCUUUGGCGCCCCAGACGGUUCCUAAAGUUUGGAAACAAAAUAGAUAGCCAGAAAUUUUUUUAAAAAAUAUUUAUAUGGAUAUUUGUAUGUUCUUUGCAAACUAACAAUAUUGUUUACCAAUAUCAAAAGGAAUAUGGCUAGGAGCCAUUGCCGCAUAUGGCAGGUGAUGGUAGAUGGCGUAUGGGAUUUCGUUAAUUUAAUGGUAUAAUAAGCUGAAAUACAUUUUCUAUUUGCAAAUGAAUCAUAGCUGAAAGUGGUGAGAUUGUUUUUUCGCCGGUUUAGCAUCCUGUGCACCGGUUCAACUGGAGGGAAGCGGUUCACCGAGACGGAUGACAAUUUUACGGCAGAAUCAUUACUUGUUUUAUUAUUAGGUGAAGAUUUUAGCUUUUAGGUAUCUCACAUUAACAAUCUGUUUCUAGUGUAUAAUGUAGGAGACCCGUAAAGAGUCUACACACACAUAUAUAUGUUGACUAUGAAUGUAAGUUUGUUGGUUUUAUGUAUGUUCAUUUGGAGUUUAUAUAAAUUUUACAUUUUAUAGUUUUGUGUAUAUGACGAAGAUCCAUGACUUGCAUUAAUUUAACCUUUCUUCCAACAACUCUUAUGCAUGCUGUUUCUAGGGGAGCGCACUGGUUGCAAUUUUGGUCCCCGAUAUAGCAUGAGGACUUAAGGGAGACGGGCACGUCGUAACCUUAGAUAUUUUUGCAAGAAGCAAAUUAUACUUUGCUUUUGAUUUUCUCCAUGCCAUUUGCUGACUCUUAUCCCUUUUAUUUAUCAUUAUAAGAUGAAAAUAUUGUAAAAACUUGGUUACGUGCGGUCGCAGAAGCUAGAGACUAUUUCUUUUUUUAAAAAUACGCAAGAGGGAGAAACUUGGUAACAGCUAGACAGUGAAGAUCGCAUUUCAUAAGAAAGAUGGUGCACGUUCUUGUUUGGCUGUUAACGAAAUGACUUCGUUUCACCACACCACCAGAGAGCCCCAUUGCACUUGCAGCAAAAGCGUGGAGCCGCUUUCAACCAGCGUGCAAUAAUGCAGUCCCGCGUGUCUUGGUCUUACAGGAUAUUUGGUUCUUUAGUCCGGACUAAAAUUCAUGUCGCAUAGAAUAUUCAGAUGUUAAAUAGGAGGACUAAACAUGAGCUAAUUAUAAAAAUAAUUACACAAAUGGAGGCUAAUUCCCAAGACAAAUCUAUUAAGUCUAAUUAAUCCAUCAUUAGCACAUGUUUACCGUAGCACCGUAUUGUCAAAUCAUGGACUAAUUAGGCUUAAUAAAUUCGUCUCGCAAGUUAGUCUCCAUCUAUACAAUUUGUUUUAUAAUUAGUCAAUGUUUAAUACUCUAUCUAAACAUUCAAUGUGACUGAAAUUUUAGGAGGUCCUAAAGAACCAAACACCCCUUAGUCUCCGCCUGAACUAUAGCAGGUGCUGGCAGCGGUAGCAGGGUCGUCCAUUAUAUCUAUGGAUGGAAAUGAUCUGAUUCGGAUGGAAUCGAAUUCGAAUAGCACUUUUUACCACAUACUAAUCUGAAUUGGAUGUUCUCGAAUGUGAAUGCAAAACGGAUAGUUCAAAUUUGAAUACUUUGCGGAUUUUUGCAUAAUAUUAAUCGAAGAGAAUUUGUUAAAUUUAGCCGAGACAUAAAUUUUUCUAAAUUCAAAUACUUUGCAGAUUUUCGAAUGCAAAUUUUUUCAUACGAUCUCGGUUGAAUACAAACUUUAUAUCAAAGUUGUAUAUUUAGAUUAUAUAUAAAACUUUGUAGUUGACCUCCUUUUCAUUUAAAAUUUUUUAAUAGCUCAAAACAUUAUUCUAAGCUUUCUAAUUUCAAAAUCUUGAAUUUUAAAUUUUUCAAACGACCUCGGAUGCAAACAAGCUCUAUAUCAAAGUGCUUAAUGAGAUAUAAAAUUUUGUAGUUGACAAGUUUUUUAGUUGAAAACAUUUAGUUAUCACAAACAUACAAGUUCUUCAUUUGAUGUCGAGGAUUGGAAGUGUUGAGUUUGAAGAAUAUAUUCUUUGAUUACAAACUUUUCCAUAUGAUCUUGGAUGAAUACGAACUUUAUUUCAAAGUUGCAAAUUUAGAUUAGACCAAAAACAGUAUAGUUUACAAUUUUUUCAUUCAAAAUUAUUUAGUAGCUCAAAAUGUUAUUCUAAACUCUCUAAUUUUGAAAUCUUGAAUUUUAAAAUUUUCAAAUGACCUCGGAUGCAAACAAGCUCUAUAUCGAAGUGGUAGUUCUUAAUGAGAUAUAAAAUUUUGUAGUUCCAUCUGAGAUCAUUUAACAGUCACAAAUAUACAAGUUUUUCAUAUGAUGCUAAGGAUCAGAAAGAUUAAGUUUGAAGGCUGUAUUUUUUUAAUACAAAUUUUUGCAUACGAUCUCGGAUGAAUACAAACUUUAUAUCAAAAUUGUAGAGCUCGAUGAGAAUUUAAACUUUGUAGUUGAUAUAUUUUUCAUUCGAGAAUGUUUAGUGGUCCAAACAUGUAUUAUAAGUUCAGAGAAGAAACACACAAUCGGCCACGUCAUCAAUUGACAACUUCCAAACUGAGCAUUCCUAUUGGUUCACACCUUUCCCUUUCAACUCGUCAAGCUUAUCUCCUCCCACUCCUCCAUCGUUCACUCCCCCUUCCCCUUCCUCUCUCCCUCCCUCCCUCCGCUCCAGCAGUGGCAGCCCGACCUGCCUCCUAGGACGGUGGUGUGCGGGGCUCGGGCAUCCCUGGCCUCUAGUGGCGUGGCAGGGCGGCCUCCAGCAGCGAUGGCGGAACUCGGCCUCCGGUGGCGCACAGGCAGCGCAGCCUACCUGGUCAAAGGCGGCGCAACAGGGCGACCUCCCCAGCCUCCGGCGGCGCGCAGGGCAUCCAUGACCUCCCCGGCCUCCCUUGCCAGAGGUGGUGCGCGGGGCUGCGCCGACCUCCCCAACCAGAGGUGGCAAGGCCCCAGCUUACGGCGGCGCGUGGCUCCCCAGCUAGGGUGUGGUGGGGCGGCGGCAAGUCAGGCGUGGCCGCGUGGGGGUGGGGGGAGGGGGUUGGGCUGGGCGGAUUCAGAUAGUAUCCAUUUAACCAUCCGAAAUGUGGAUAUCCGUUUAACAAUCCGUUUAGCAAAACCGAAUUUGGAUACUUCCACUUAAGUAUCCAACUAGGAUUCGAAUGCGGAUGGUCCUACCAUAUUGUUAUUUCAGCGGAUACGAAUAUGGGAUAAUUCGAAUAACGACUUACCCAUCCCUGAUUAUAUCCGUGUAAAUAAAUAAUUGCGGCAGCAGGUUCCCGUCGCCACGCCCCCGUCAAACCAAACAAUUGCUUGCGCGACACCGUGUUACUAGAUCUUGUACAGUACUCCCUCCGUUGCAGUACUCCCUAAUGAAAGUUGAGAAUCGAUCGACAACCACGGCUAGUUGCUAUGCACUCGAUCAGAUGGUCCAGGCGCCCGCUGGUAAUCAGGUCGUGGUUCACGCGCAUCAGGCCAGCUAUGACGUUGCCAGCAGUGCUCAGUACACAAAUCUAGCUAUCAGUCGGAUCCAAUUGGGCAGGCAUUUGCACUGUGGUUGUGUUUGAACCUGUAGAUGUCGUUGUCAUUAUCAGGCACCAUACAUCCUCUCUCAGAGGGUGUUUCACCCCCUAAACUUUAGCCCCUCUCACAUCGAAUGUUUUAGAUACUAAUUAGGAAUAUUAAACAUAGAAAAUUUACUAAACCCAUUACAUGGAUGGAGGGUAAACGGCGAGACAAAUCUAUUAAAUCUAAUUAGUCCAUGAUUUGACAAUGUGCUGCUAUAGUAACUAUUUGCUAAUGAUGGAUUAAUUAGACUUAAUAGAUUUUUCUUGCUGUUUAGCCUCCGUCUGUGCAAUUAGUUUUAUAAUUAAUUCAUAUUUAGUCCUCCUAAUUAGUCUCCGAAUAUUUGAUGUGACACGGACUAAACUUUAGAUAGCACACCAGGGACCGACACCAUGCAUGCUGAUUUCAUAUCAUAAUUAAGGAAAGUGAUAUCAUAAUUAAGGAAAGUGGUAGCAUCCAAGAAAUCGAUCAUGUUUCUUCCCCCUUUGGCUUUCCUACUAGGAUUUGGAUAGCGGGCCUUCCUACUAGGAUUUGGAAUCCGCUAUCGCAUGACUAUCUUAAUUAUGUCCCAUAGUCCAAAACUCACAAAACAUCAAAAAUCCAUCGAGAAUAAAUUAAGUAAAAAACAUGCGCACACAGAUAAUAAUAAUAAUAAUCAUGUUUCAAUAAAAUUGCUAAGAUUAGAGAUAGUACAUAAACAUAUUAGAUUGUUCGUGACACAUAUCAUGGUGGAUAGUGUCUGUGUCCUUAUUACAAGCAGCGAUAGAUGCUUGUCACCACACACACGCACGCACAGAUGCACGACAUACAUAUAGUUGAGACCAACGGAUGGACGUCCCAUAGGGUGAAUAAUUUAUUGGAGAUAAAUAUUAACAUAACUUGGCCAUAGCUUGAAGCAUAGCAACAUAUGCUUAUGAAUGGCAUUCAUGCGGGUAGCAAUGCUAUCAUAUGCUUUUAGGCUUGUCCUUAGCUUCUUCCAUCUUAUAGCAAACACUGCCAUUUCUUCCAUCUUAGCAGCAACUGUCAAAUUAAUUGAGAUAUGGAAAUCCCAUUAGCGCAUGAGUUAAUUUUGCAGUGGAAAUAGAGUAGAAGAUGUCUUCAUAAUGUAAGUAAUAUGACUCUGACAUAGGGAGUGAAGUCAACAAAUUACAUUAACGGAAAUGCAUGGAAGGCCACGCAUAUGUAUUAGUCCGAUAUGCUACAAAGCUUGUAUGUACAUAUAAUAAAUUAAAUGCAUUGAAUAGAGUGAUUUUAGUGAAUUUACCUAAAUCGGAUUAAAAAACAUGGGAAACAACAAGUGUUCUUGUAGGGCUUUGUUUAGUUCCCAAAUUGGGAGUAGCAAAGUUUGCAUUUUACCAUAAAUGCGCAACUAUAGCAUGUAGCAUUUUGUUUGUAUUUGUGAAUUAUUAUCCAAACAUUGACUAAUUAGGCUCAAAAGAUUCAUCUCGCAAAGUACAACAAAACUGUGCAAUUAGUUUUUGAUUUCGUCUACAUUUAGUACUCCGUGCAUGUACCGCAAGUUUGAUGUGAUGGGGAAUCUUGCUUUUCAAUAGUGACAAAGUUGGGAUUUCGGGGGGAAGGCCUGUGUCGGAGCCACAUGCAAGAAUGGCUGACAUUGAGGCUCAGACAAAGCCCAAUGGCAACUGCUGACAUGCGAUUAAAUUUAGAUAUCCACAUCCAGCCAUUCACAUUUAUGAGAUAUGGACACGGUGCAAAUGGGUGGGGUCCUGAUAUGGAGGUGCGAAUGGCUGUCUACUUGUAUAGUGUAGCUCCAAUGUACGUAUAUGUAUCUUAUGCAUGUAUACAGUUGCACAAACUCUGAACCAACUCUUCAUAACAGGUCUUUGUUACCAAGUAACUUUACUUUUGCACGUUUCAGCCGAGAGGUAGAAGAGAAUAUUUUUGCAUUUUCCAUGUGCGUCAGUGGUAGAGAACUAGGAAUUAGUUCCGGAUGGUAGGGCACAAAUCUUCCAAACAACUAUCCGAAAUUAAGCAAUCGAGAUAAAGGGUGCCAUCUAUUCUCUCCGAAAAACACAGGUACCAAAAAGAAGAAGAGAAGAGGGAGGGCCUCCCGUUAAGGCCCGCUCGGGGUCUCCAUCCCACCACGCGCCCUCCCAACCCAAAGCCCAUCGUUUUCCCUCCGUCCCUCCCCUCUCCAUUGCCGCCGCCGCUCCCCUCAUCCGAGCUCGAUACGGGUGGUCGGCGGCCCCUCCUCUCCGCUCCCGCCCCCGGCCUCCCUUUGACCGCCGGGCGCCGGCAUCACUGCCGCGGCCAACCCCAGGGCGCAGCGCGUGCCUCUAUUUCUCUCCCCCGUUCAAGGGCCCUUUGAUGGCGACGAGCACCCACCCACCAGGUAUGCCCUCCCCUUCUCUUCCUAACCCUAAUAUAUUCGGAUCUCACCCAGUCACAAUAUAUUACCUAAUAGCUUCGAUUUUGUUUGCAAAAAUCAUCACGUGCGCACCCAUGUCCGCUAGAUUCUUGCGCCUGAUCCUGUGCUGCUAUGGUUUGGGCGGGGUAGACUAGUUGAUUCGUGCACUUUUGGGUGCUUGUAGUGCUAGGUUUUGGAGGGGGAUAGCCCAGUUGAUUCCUCCGUUUUGGGUGCUCAUGGUGAUAGGAUUUGGAUGGGGAUAGCCCCAAUGAUUCGUGCGCCUUUGGGUGCUGGGGAUAGUUUUGGGUGCCUGGAUAGUCCAGUUUCAAUGUCAGUAUAUGCGUAUUUUGGGGAGAAUUUUGUUUUGGGUGGUUCUGGUGCUAGAGUUUCUGAUGCUUAGUAGCCCAGUUUCAAUCAAAUUCCCCCAUGGGUCGUGCACUACGGGAAACAAGAAAAUUGCCGAGUGUAUUUUUUUUGUCGAGUGUUUUUUUUCGAGCACUCAGCAAACAAGCUCUUCGCCGAGUGCCAAGUCAAAAACACUCGGCAAAAAAAAACACUCGGCAAAUCGGGGCUUUGCCGAGUGUCAAAUAAAAAACACUCGGCAAAGAAGGGGGUUUGCCGAGUGUUAAAAAAAACACUCGGCAAACAGGAGGGUUUGCCUAGUGUUUUUUUGACACUCGGCAAAAAAAUAAUUGUUUUUCCUCUUUUCACCUUGAAAUUUUUUCUACUCCCCACAUACAACACGUGGUACUCCAUGUUAAAAUUUGGUAUAUUUUUGGAUUUAUUUGCUAUAUUUAUUUAAUUAAUUGCAUUACAAGGAAAUUUUUGGUAUAAGUCAAAUUUGAACUGCAAGUGAUUCAAAUUGUGGAACAAAAUGAGUAGAAAAAUGAUAUUCAUGUUAUUUGGCUCAAUUUGAGACCUGACCCAUGAAAUGAAAAGAAAUUUCGAACAUCUUGUUCAGGAAACACGACAAUGAACAUGUGGCGGUAGUAUUUUUAAAUUGUAAAAAAAACAAGCAAAGUCUGAAAAUCAUGAGAUUUGUAGUUAUGUGAUGAUAUAAUACGUGGAAGCUGUGGAAAAAAAUUGGAAAGGUUUUGCACAUUUCAUCAUGUACGAUGAUUACAAACCGAAGCAUAUCAGAAGAAGAAUAGUAACUUUGAGAAGGAUUCGAUAAAAUUUAGAGUCGAAGUGACGGUCGAGUUCGGUUUGACUACAAAACUUUUUGUAUAGUCAGUAGAGAACAUAUCUUAUUUCGUGUGAAAAUUUGGUAUUUUUUGAAACUGUUGGAUAUUUUUAAUUUUUUUUUAAAAAAACUUUGCCGAGUGUCCUAGGGUAGACACUCGGCAAAGAAAAACUUUACCGAGUGCCCGCCUAGGACACUCAGCGAACCUUUUUUUAAACCUACCGGCUCCGGCCGGCCCAGCCCACAAACACCACCCGCCCCCCGCCCCCGCGCCUUCUUCCUCACGCCGCCCCCGCCCCCCACCCGUGCCUCCGGACCGCCCCCUCCUCCCCCUGGCCUCCCCUCACGCCGCCCCCCUCCUCCCCUAGCUCCCUCCACCGGCGGCCCUCCCUCCCCCGGCGCACAUCCUCCACUCCUCCUCCCCUUCCCUUCCCUCCCCUCCCCUCCCCUCUUCCUCCCCUGGCCGGAUCUGGCGCCCCUAGCUCCCCUUUCUUCCGCGGCCAGAUCUGGCGCCCUCCCGGCGGCGGGUCGUGGCGAUCGGGGCGGCGGCGGCGGAUCAGGCCGCGGGGCGGCGGCGGCGGCGGGUCGUGGCUACCGGGGCGGCGCCCUGCCCCUCCCCUCCCUCUCCAUCUCCGGCUGCCGUCCACCCCCUCCCCGGAUCCGCCCCCCUCCCCUCCGCGCGGCCAGCCCCUCCUCCCUCUCCGGCCGCCGCCCCGGCCCCUCCUCUCCCUUUCUCCGGCCACCGCCCCGCCCAUCUUCUCUGGAUCCGGCCGGAUCCGGCCGCCGCACAGCCCCUCCUCCCCGGAUCCGGUGGGCGCGGACUUCGUGGUGGUGGCGCCGGAUCCCUCCCCUCCCUCUCCAGAUAACUCCCUCCACUCCUCCGCUCUUCCCCUCUCUCGCGCGGCGGCCUCUCUCCGGCCGCCGCCCCGCCCCUCUCCCCGGAUCCGGGGGGGGGGGGACUCCGCCCCUCUGCCCCGGAUCCAGCUCCCCGACCCGCGAGUGGGGCGAGCUUGCUCAUGCGGUCGACGUCGAGGCCAGGGUGUGGUGGAGGUGGUGGCCGGCGGGUGUGGUGGUGGUGGCGGCGGCGGGCAUGGCGGCGCGGAGGCAAGGCACGGCGGCCGGUGGGAGGCACGGGUGCAAGGCGUCGACGGCAGGAGGCAAGGCACGGCAGCAUGGGAGGUGGUGCUGUGGUGGUGGUGCUGGCGGUGGUGGCGGCGGCGGAGCAGGAUGUGGUGGUGGCGGAGGAUGUUUUUUUUUCAAAAAUUUGUUGCCGAGUGUUUUCUCGGCACUCGGCAAAGACUUUACCGAGUGCCCGACACAAAACACUCGGCAACUCAGUGUUUGCCGACUGAAAAAUUGCCGUGUGCCGUUUGCCGAGUGUUACACUCGGCAAACGGUUCGCCGAGGGUUUUUUGCCCUUCGCCGAGUGCCCCUAGCACUCGGCAAUUUCACUAUCUCCCGUAGUGGUGGCUGGACUUAUGGGGGGAUCAUUGAUGGGGGACUAGUUGGAUACUUUUUGGCUGUUUUGGGAGUCCUUGGCAGCGGCUUCUCAGGGCGUACGUAGCCCAUUGUAGAUUCCAGCCGAGAAGAUUAAGGAAUUGUGACUGCAACCAUGUUACUUUUCUAGGACUCUGUUUCUGAUAUUGUUCCCGCUGCAUCUUUUCAUCCCCAUGGUGAAUGUUGCUGUUGAUCUGUAGAUUGGAUUUGUUCCUCGGUAGCUUUAUUAGAUUUGUGCUGAAUGAUAAUCUCUGCCUGUGAUAUUUUUCUUCAUUGCGGAUGUGUGCCGAGUAUUAUCCCCUUUGUUCAUUCUGUUGGCUUUUUUUAUUGUCUCUGUACUCGGCUGUUCAGCUUGUGCAGCUAAUGAUCUAAUGUAUUUUGUCGUAACUAUGUAUUUUUCGGAUGUGUGCCGAGUAUUAUCCCCUUUGUUUAUUCUGUUGGCUUGCUUUCAUUGAUCUUAAGAUAACUGGUGCUAUAAAUUCACACUAGCUGAUGCACUUGCAAAUAGCUAUGUAAAUAUGAAAAGAAGUAUUUUUUUAUCCUUUUGUUUGUUUGGCAUCAUAUCUGUUUAAAUGGCAUAGCAAUAAGAAUUUUUUGUUUUUGGGGAAUCAUAUCUGCUUAAAUGGUAUAGAAAAUGCUGAGUGCACUGUCAAAUAGAUUUUCCAGCAGUCUGCUUUCAGUUGUUUUUGCAAAUCCUCACAGGCCAGUGAACUGACUUUGUUUUUACCACCCCAUGCCAUUUAAAUGACUAAAUCAGUCAGCCUAAUACUAUAUAUGGUCAUGCUAUGAUCUUAUUUCUUGAAGCUCUAUAGGUCAACCCAUAAGGGUAACUUAGUUUUUCCUAUUCUGGCUGGGGAAGUGGAUACGAUGGCUAUCCUUGGUAGAGUUAAAUACAUUGGCGGCUCUUAGCGCGCCAAUGUGGCACCACAAUAUCGAACAUAUGUAGAAACCCCCUUGUUUUUUCUCAUAUCCCUCUCUCUCAGCGUCCUCUUCUCUUCUUCUCCUCUGUCUCCUCCCCUCCCAUCGCGUGCUUUAUUGCGCCGCCGCCAUCCGCCUCCAUGUAUGAACACGUCGUUUGUCAUGAAGAAGCAGUUGAUGAGGCAAUCAAGCAUGUGGUGCACAAGGUUCUUCUGCUGGCCAAGUCCGAGUCGAACAGCCGCGCAUUCAUUGGGGAAGCACGCGCCAGGCAUCACCAGGCUCCUCGUGCCCCUACUCUGCUCCAAGGACUCGGUGCUUCGACGCGCUGCUUUCCCUGUCCGGCGAGCGGGGAUCGUUGGGAGAUGAUCGAUGGAGGAUGGAGCUGAUCCUCCUGUACACGGUGCCGGUGGGGAGCAGGGAGCUGCGGAGCAGGUCCACGGGCGGCGCCAUUACAGCAGGUGCAGGCUAAGGGUAAUGAGCAGAUCGAGGCGAUGGAGGAGGACCCGCACGAGGUGCAGCUUCUUCGCCUCCUGCGCAAAGUCAGCGCCCAAGCAGCCGCUGAGGGACAGGCCGAGGCUUAGCUCGAUCUCAUCCGACUAAAUGGUGGCUGCACUCCCACAGUCCCACUGGUGCUCCUCCCUUCUGUCCGAACCUGCCGAGGAAAUCCCUCGAUGCCAUGGGUCCCGGCUGGACGACUACUCCUCCCACAGAUUGACUGAGGAAGAAGAGCUUCUCAGUGUCCAAAAAUUCAGUUACACUGGAAACAGCAACCAAUUACGUUCUUCCGGCUCAGCCAAGCCCCAAUCUCCUUGCUUCUGUGCGCCCCUGCUAAAUAUUCCAGAAACCAAUCUGGUUAGUUGUUUUUUCACAUUUUCAGUGCAUGCCGGUGCUGCUGUGUGCGGCAUGCAUGGAGUUGUCGUGGGAGUGCACGGUGGCUUAGCUGGUGCGCCAGUGCGCGGGCACGAACACAACGGUGAAGAUGGCAGGGCCAUCUCAAAGCUCCUGAGCACCUGCACGCGUCGCUGAGCAGGACAUGCUGCGACGGUGGGCGAGCGCUGCUAACGCCCUGGGGAAGAGCAGUGGGUGCAGAGAGAGGGAGCGAGGGAGAGGGGUUCUUGUAUAUGUUUGCUAGCGUGGCACCGUUUACGGUGCCCGCCUAAGUGGCAUUCACGUGUCAUUCAUCCCAAAUGGUGUUGCAAGGUUGAACCUAUUGUGGGAGGCUUUUGGUUUCCCUUGACAGUAUCACCAGUGAUAUCACUGCGUUCUGGUUAUGUAUGAAACACUUGUCCUUUUAAAACCUUUCUGAAUUUAGAAACGAAUUUGAAACAUUACCCUCAUUUCCAUGUUUUUCUAUCUUUUGUCCCUGUAAAAUCAAACUAAAUUUGAAUUAUUAUGUUCAGAACUACAAGCUGAUUUACUUGUCCCAUUUGCUAAUAACAGGGCCUUGUGAUUUCUAAUGAACAUUGCAGAGCAUGUUAUAAAGCGUAUGCAUGAACACCAAGGGGAUGAAACCAUUGGUAUAUUUCUCACAACCUUUUGAACUUAUCAUUUAGCAUAUUUGUGUUCUAGUGUGACGUUUCAGCCACGAGACAUGAGAAAUGUUAGCUAUGGAUUUUGGUUAUUCAUCAUGGGUUCACAGAUUUGUUUUUCUCUAAAAGAAUUGGGAAGUAGCUUUCUUUCUGGGUAUAUGUGGGGAAAUGCAUAUGCAAUCUUUUAUUUAUUGAGGUGACUGUAAAAUUCUUGUCUGACUGAAUAUGCGAUUUCAACCUACAUGCUAUACUUAGGGAAAUUUGUGAAUCUCCUAAUGUCUGCUGCAUGGCAUGAAUGCAUAUUUUACUGGUCCAUAAUGUGAAGUUCUGUAUAUAAACUUCUCGUGUUGACCCUUUAGAACAUGCUAACUGGAGAGUUUUCUAGAGUAGUUAAACAAGAGAUUUAGUUAAAUCUGCACACAUAGGUGGGGCCUGGCAUACCCUAAGAAUCGGCCUAGCCGGUCAGCCCAUUAGUAAAAAAAAAAGCACCGCAGUCAGCAGUCCCCACGUUGGUCUUCCUCGAGUCGCGACUCGCGAAGCUCCCAUCCUCCGAGUCCAAGAUGGUGGACUGUGUCGAGCGCGGGGCGGGCGAUUAGUUGCCCGGCCGCCGGCGGGGGAUGGCCGGACGGCCAGAUCGCCGACUCCUCUAGUCCUCCCUCCAGCCUCUGCGCUUCUUUCACAGUGGAGCUAGCGGCGAGGCGCCCGACCGACACCCUUCUUCCCAAAUCCCGGCAGCCCUACCUCGAUUUGGCCUCCUCCGAUCAUUUGAUAAUCAAUUUGAUGAAAUUAAUAUGGAGUUGCUUUCUUGUAUGGUUGCCUUCAAUCCUGCUAAUUCAUUUGCUUCAUUUGAUGCACAAAAGAUACAUAGACUUGCUAUAUUUUUAUCCACAAGACAUCACAAGCACGGAUUUGCUAAAACUUGAAUUCCAGCUCGAUAUUAUAUUGAUGAUGUGAGAUAGGAUGAUAGUUUCAAAGGCCUACAAGAUCUUGUUAACUGAGACUCAGUUAAGCUUGUUGAAACAAACAGGCAUAAUAUUUAUGACUUGGUUUACUUGCUUCUCAAAUUGGUAUUGGUUCUUCUUGUGGCGACAGCUAGUGUUGAAAGGGAUUUUUGUGCAAUGACUUUGAUCAAGAGUAAGCUAAGAAAUAAGAUGGGUGAUAGUCUUUUGGAUGAUUGUCUUAUCACAUUCAUUGAGAAAGAUAUUUUCUUUGAAGUGGAUGAAGAAGAUAUAAUUAAGACUUCAUAUCCAUUAGAAAUCGUAGGCUGGAGAAGAAGUAAUAUUUUAAUUUUCUUUGAACGUUAGGUCUGUAAGCUUCUUUUAAACUAUCUACAUUAUAAUUUAUGGACCUUUUAAUUUAACCGUUGAAUUCAUGAUAUUAUGAGAUUUUUUUAUCUAUGUUAUUAUUGUUUACCGAUUUAUUACCAAAUUAUUAGUUUGAUCUUACAAUAUUGUAUUUUGGAUGAUUGGCUCGGCAUACUCUAAGUUUAAAUCCUAGCUCCGCCACUGUUUGCACAUUAAUGUGGCUUAUAUGUGUGGAGUCACUUAACCUAUGCACUUGGACCUCCACUCCCUUAGGUUUUAUGAACCUAAUUUGACAGCCUGCUCGUCUUUUAUUUUCUACCAAUCAGCUAGGAACGAACAUGGUGAUGUUUGCAUCUCUGCCAUCAAUGGCUUACAUGUCAUUAUGUAUCACAUUAGCAAGUCUUGUUUUGUUAUUGGCUGGGAUGACGGGGACUCUAGCUGGAAUUGAAUCAAAGUGGUAGAUCACAGGGUAUUCAUUGCCAUGUAUUUCUGCAGUUGCAUGGACUUGCAUCAAACGGACCUUCCUACUUAUGUGAUUGUCCUAUAUGAUCUCCUUUGAUUUCAUUUGCACACUGUAAUCACAUUAGCUAGAACACUCGCUUUUUGCUUCAAAUUUGAAAUUCAUAUCAUGAUGGACUAGAACGCUGAAUUUCUUGAUUGCUGAGUUACUAAUCACAUUGUGGCGCUGCCAAAGAAGCUGGACUCUUCAUUGUUGUUGCCUUGUGGGCUGCCGUGUGCAAAGAACAAGAGCGCACGGUAUUAUAAUAGCAGAGCAGAACACAGACAAGCGACAAGGAGCGGAGCAGAGCAGAGCACAGCCAGGCACAAGCAGUAGAGUAGAGCAGAGCAACCGGGAGAGGAGAGGGCACAUAUGCAGAGUAGAGCAGAGCCAAGCGCAAGCAUUCAUGCACUCAAGCAUGCAGCAGAGGUGUAGCAAGGCAAGCACAAGCAGCAGAGCAGAGGGAAGGGAAGGCUGGGAGAUGAAUAGGCGAAUAGUUACCUGGACAGAGCAGAGGGAAUGGAGAUGAUGCAGAUGCUUCCGGAGACUCGAGAUUUGGAGAGGAACAAGGCCACGUUGUGAACAAGGUCUCCUUUCUCUUCUCUAUUUCCCGCGCAAGUACUUGUGCAUAGUGGCUGCCUCAUCCUCCAGGACGUCCACUUCAACCUGAGGCGGGUGCCACAGACAUCCUGGCUAUGCGACGGCUACCCCCAGCACACCCCCGGCGCCUAUGAACCAUGAUCCUAAUACUAUAAAUUGUCAACCUUGUAAUCUUAUUUCAAGCAUGCUCUCUAUGUCAACCUGUAAGGUUAACUUCGUUUUUCCUUUUCUGGGUAGGGGAGUGGAUAUUGCUGUUAUUUAUAUUAUGUUGAUAUUGGUUUCCACAUGUCAUUCACCCCAAAUGUGUUGCAAGGUUGAACCUAUCAUCGGAGGAAUUUUUUUCCCUUUACCUUUAUAUCACUACGCUCUGGUUAUGUAUGAAACACUUGUCUUCUUAAAAACCUUAAUUUAGAAACAAAUUUGAAACACUAUCUUCAUUUACAUCCUGUAUGUGUUUUCUACCUUUUGUCCUAUAUGAUCUGCUUUGAUUUGAUUUGUGCAUAGUUUUUUCAAUUCAGACCUGGUGAUUUCUGAGGUUCAUGUUGUGCUGAUAAGCAGCCUACUAUUCAGUAACACUUUCAUGUGGCAUGUUCAUGUUAGCUAGCUAGAAACACUGCUUUUAGCUUCAAAAUUCAAAUUCAUGACAUGAUGGACAUUGACAAUGAAUUUCUUGAUUGCCGAGCUAUGUACACUGUAAUUCAGACCUGGUGCUUUUAGUUUUUUUCUUGAUUGCCGAGCUAGAAACACUGUGCUUUUAGUUUUUUCAAUUCAGACCUGGUGAUUUCGGUUUUUUCAAUUCAGACCUGGUGAUUUCUGAGGUUCACGUGUCACACCGAUUUUAAGAACAAAAUCGAGUGCAUUAAAUAUACAUGUACGCUAGGAUCAGGUUACACACAUGUACGACAUAAGCGAAUAUCAAAGACAAUGCCAUAACGAAAUAAAGAGAGUAUUAAUCAUUAUUACAUGACCGAAAGUCUCAAAUAAACCACAAAAUCUAUUUAUUACAUAGCGGAACUUCUAAGAUAGCAACGUCUCCACAGGCAGCUGACUGAAGAACUGUAUGCCUAGAACUCUUCAAAAUCGUGCAGGUACUCCUCCAGAUUAGCUUGGUAUGAACAACGGUUUUGCAAGGGUGAGUACACUUAUGGUUGGUACUUAAUAAGUCGUGGGAAACAAUGUAGUGUAAGGCAAAUCAAGGUAUGGCUAAGGCUUAAACAGCAUCAGCUUUUAAUUUAGUUGGUCAAAUUUUAUUAGCAAUUAAUUAGACGUAAAUUUAUACCACCCGAAAUUAAACAAGAACAUGAAUAAAAUAAUAACAUAACCAUAAAUGAAAUGACAACAAUUUAAAUCCAUCUUUUCAUAGCAUUAUCAUGUGAGGGUCCAGUCCGUUCUUAACCGUGAGCACCGCUGAUCGAUCAGUUUUACACUCUGCAGAGGUUGUACAUCUUUACCCACAAGUCGCGUAAAAGUUCAAAAGAAUUUUGGACCCAACCAUGCGGUAUUUGCAAGGCACCAUACCACACUUCCAAGGUGUGAUUGCAUAUGAACGCUACGAGGCCUUUACAAAGAUUCAUUAGUAAGUGGUAACCCGCUAAGGUUUCGGUAUUUGGCGUGCACAACCUAUCACAGGCCGCUAAUGCAACGACUCAGUCCCCCCUCUUGCCUCAUCACGAGUAAGAUUACCCCAGACUAAGGUUUCUAAUUAUUCAGCCAAGAUCAGAACCAUUUAGUCUUGUGGUAGCACUGUUUUCCUGGGUGGUUCUCCAUGUUCCGAUUAAACAUAAUGGUCUUGUAUUAAUGGAAGGUAUAACAUAAAUAAUACCAAAUUAAUAAUAAUUCAGAUUAAAUCACCAUAACCAUAUUUGAGCACUAAGCAUGAGCUACCCAACAUAAAUUUAACCCGGUUGGUCAAGGCAAGGUAGAUAAAGUCUAGGAAAUUCUUAAUUGGGACCCAUCAAGUUUAAAUUAUACUUUGCAUGGUAUGUUGCAUAGAACAUGAAAGUAAAUGUGAAUAGGACUGAAAAGGAGUGAUUAGGGACACGACUUGCCUUUUUAACCUUGUUCUUGCUGUUCGUACUCUUCGAAAACUUUGAUCUUCAAAUCCCUUGAACUGCUGACCGUCUACACGCGUCACACGACCACAUACAAGCAAACAAAUAUAAUACAUAAGAAAACAGUACACCAAUCAUAAUUAAAUAGAAGAAACAAAUUUGAAAAGCUAUUCUACGCAUUAAAACGAAAACACGGAUACAAGGAACGUUAAAAACGGAGCUACAGUGCAAAAACUACGCUUAAAACAAGAUGCAGGGGUAUAACUACGAGAAACCAAACUUCCAGGGAUUUAAUUUUAAAUAAUUUUGAACUGCAGAAGGGGCAGCAGGGCAAAACGUAGAAAAUGCAGGGGCUUAAGCGCAAAAGCAUGGCUGCUGACUCAGCUGACUUGAUGUGGAUCGUCGGAUGGCGAUCCGGCGGCCGGCAGCUGCUGCGCUGACGUCAGCGACGGCGAGCGCCGGCGAAAAACGGCAGUUCGCCGGAAUCGCCCGGGAACGCGCGACUGGGUGCAGAUUUGAGCGAGGAUUAGACUAGCAGAUAGAAACGAGCGCAGUGAACUCAUUUGGGAUGCCUACGGCGAGGACUUGGCGACGGCAUCGGCUCCGGCGAGAACUUGCGGCAGGGAAACCAAAUAAAAUAAAAUAACACGGUUCAGAGAAGCGGCGCUGGAGGAACGCGAGCGAUUUUGCGUGCGAGCGGAAGAAAACACUGCGAGGAAGAUGACUGCGGGCCCUGCUUGUCUGCGGCAGGAGGAGAGCUGCGUGCGAGAAGAACCUGGCCACGAUCUGGGCCGUUGCCUUCGAUCUGGGCCGAGGCAAGCUAGCUGGCCCGCUGCUGCGGAAAGGUGCUGGGCCACGGGCGGAGCACAGCGUCGGGCCAGAAAGGAGAUGGCUGCUGCGAGGAAACAAAAGAAAAUGAACUGGGCUGCGACAGAGGAAAACUGGGCGUCGGCCAGAAAGAAGCUGCGUGCAGCUUGCUCUUGUUUCCGAACUAGAAACAGGAACUGACGGAAAGACAGAAAUCAAUUGGAGACUGAAACUGACGCCCCAGACUCUGAACUUCGAAAAAACAGGACAACCAGCCAACUGACAGAAAAAAAAAAGCUUAACAACCCAAAAGCAGUACACAACCACGAAACCAGGCCACAAGACUGAAAAAGCUUGAUAGGAACAUCUGGCGACUGAACCAAAAAACUACAGAACUGCAACUGAAGAACUAGAGAACAGAUAAAUAACUGAUUGAACUCUGAAACUGAAACACCAAAGAGCAGGAAGCUGACUGACGGAAAAUGCAAAACAGCAACCCAAGGUGAAACACAAAUUCUUCUUCAAGCAUUCAAACAAAGAGAUAUGCAACAGCAUGAAUGCUCAAUAAAAUCCUAUAUUUCAUUAAUUAAUUAGAAAAAAUGCUCAAAUGCCUAGAAAAAUGCAAAAGUGACCUUAUAUGCCUUAAACAAGCAAAUUCGUUUCUAGCGAUUUUUGGUAAAAUGCAAAAUUAGAGAUUUUGGGUGUUACAUCAUGUUGUGCUGAUAAGCAGCCUACUAUUCAGUAACACUUUCAUGUGGCAUGUUCAUGUUAGCUAGCUAGAAACACUGUGCUUUUAGCUUCAAAAUUAAAUUCAUGACAUGAUGGACAUUGACAAUGAAUUUCUUGAUUGCCGAGCUAUGUACACUGUAAUCACAUUGUGGGGCUGAUAAAAUAAGCAGCGUUGAGACACAUAACAAUUGAAUCUUAAGCUUCACACAGAAUCUGGACCAGUCAUCCUCAUUCCUGUCAUGCUGGAAAUGUCUUUGAUACAUUUCAAUCACAGGCAAUUGAAUUCGUACUGGGGAGGAUGGCAAUGGUGCAUGAAGAGAGAUCAAUGUGGCAAAUCUCACAUUGUUCAUUACCAGGUAUCUCCGAUUUCUGGUUAUUUUAAAUUUACCUUGACAUGUGACUUAUUGAGGUAUUGUAUUUCAUCUAAUGGUAGUUCUGAAUUUAUGGUAACCUUGGAUGGGGUUUGUCACUUUAUACACGCACGGACUUACAAAGGACAGCAAAUGAGUAUAUUUAGAGGGCUCCUGUCCAACCAUGGACUAUACUUAUGUACCCUUUUUUGACAUGGUAAUUUGAGGUUAAUGGAAAAGUAGCGAUAGUCGCCUCCAGCGAAGCUACCUUCUUCGAAAGCUCCGAGGCUGCUUUCUCGCUCUUAGCAAGCCGAUCCCUCGUAAUCAUCGAAGAGUAAGAGACCUACAGAUUUUAAAAACCAAGUUACCAAAAAUAACGAAGUAAAAGACAACACUCGCAAGACAAACCACCAAACUAUCUCAUAAUUGUACCUUCUUUACGAGGUUCGCCUCCAAGUUAAAGAGCUCUUCCAAGAUCAUUGACUUCACAGCUUGCUGAAAAUCUAUGCGCCAAAGGAUAUAGUCGUAAGCAUAAAAUAAAAAUUGGUAAAAACCAAGGACAGCAAAGCCAUCUACAAGCUGUUCUUACCCUCAUACUUUCGCACCUCAACGGCGAUCGGAACAACCUUCUCUCUAGCCUCGCCCUUAGACGCCACCACAAUCUUCCCGCCACACAAAUCCACAACCCCUCCUUUACCUUUGCCCUCUCCCGAAGUCGUCGUGCCCGCCUUCUCCACCCUUUUUGAACCGCCAACAUCUGCAUAGCGCUCGCAACCUUCACCUUCAGCCCCCCAGACCAAAGACAGGUUGUGAGGAUUAUAAACCCUACCUUCGGCGCAUGUAGCUAGAAUCUCCGUGCGCCCGCUCAAGCCCAGACACUCAUUCAGUCCCUGAAGCCCCGCCGGCAACCUCUCACCUACAUCAUAACAUUCAACUUUUAGCCUCACAUGAUCCUCACAACUAACCUUACCAACGCCCCCCAUAGUUUCUUCCAAGUCCUUCAAAAAUUUCGUUGAGGCCUCACCACAAUCAAAGAACCGUAGCAUCGAUAGAAACACCUCUACAUGCUUACCAGAUCUCACAGCUUCGGCACACCCACCCUUUGGAUCAGAUGAGAACGCAUCCACAAGCUUCGCCUUUUCGGUGGCAAACCCCCUCUCAAGUUUCCCAACAUCAGUCAAGAGAUGUUGCGCGCUCUUAAACUUCGAGCUUAUGGAAGGCACCGUGAUCUUGGUACCAGCUGCCGAAGACGCGUCAACCUUGGCACCCGUAACAGUAACAGGAGCAAAUCGAGGUUUCUUGGCGCCUCUUUUGAUCCGUGCGGCGGGCCCGGUGGAUGAAGGUGCAAGAGCUGGAACCUCCUUAGGAGGGCGCAUAGAGACAGGAACAACAUAUGCCGGAUUGCUCAAGUCGCCAGACGAAGCUGUCGACCACGAUGGCAACAUAGCAGACGAAGCCCCCGCGGUCAUUUCCUUCCUUUUUUGCGCCUCCAAAUUCAAGGUCUUUUGCUUCGCCUUAGCGGUCACUUGCAAUUCAAUAGUGAGCUUCACCAUGGGUACGAAGUCAAAUUUUGCCUUUUUCCUCUGCUCAAGACUAGCACCGCGACGGCGCCUCUUGCCCGUAACUUUGGGGUGAGGCAGAACCACAAUAUCAUACAAGUCAAAAAUCUAAGAUGAUGACAUUCCAUUUGUAUCCAUGAUUUAUAUUGUGUUCCUUGAAUAUCCAUUAAAGUCUACUUGAAUUGAUUUGCAAUUAUGUGAAUUGUAUGUGAAACUCUUUCCUUGUAUGGUUAUUCUAAAGUUGUCCCUAGUCGGAGUUCAUGUGAGGACACAUGAAUAUUAGACUAGCACAUGUAUUAGUUGAUGACUAUGUUUCACAAGUCAUGGACAUGAAGAUGUGGAACUAAUAAUGUGGGCACAUGUGGAGACACGUGCUAGGACUGACCCAACACGAGAAGUAGUUCUCUCUUUAUACAACAUAUACGCUUUGUCCUUAGACCUGAGAUUGUCGCAUGUACUCAAGAUGUGGAUCGACUUACUUAGGGGCUAUCAAAUUCUACGCCGUAACAGGGUAGUUAUAAAGGUAGCUUUCGGGUUUGUCAAGAAGCAUGCUAUGAGACAUGGUCAAUCAAGAUGGGAUUUGCCCCUCUCUGAUUGAGAGUGAUAUCUCUGGGCCCCUCGAGUGAUCGGAUCCGAAAAUGCAUGGCCAUGCUACAUACGAUUAAGAGUUAGCCUACAAAAGGAUUCCGAAUCAUAGGAUCGAGAAAGAGCGGUCGGCUUGAAGCUAGACCAAAUAUCGUGAGGCAAAGGGAAUAGCAUGUAUAUAAUGUUGUGAUGGUUCGUCUGAUAUGAUCUUCGUGUGCGUAUAGGAGUUGGCACGUCUUGCUAGAGGUCGCUACCGACUAUUGGGCCGAGUAGGAGUACUCAGGCCAUGUCUAUACGUAUCCGAACCCAUAGGGUCACACACUUAAGGGGCUGGAAGCCCAAUUCGGAUGUGAUCCGAAUUGGAUUAGGUUUAGAAGUACUAAUGGGCCUUGGACCUAGAGGCCCGUUAGGAACCUCUAUAAAUAGAGGGGUGGGGGCGCCCUAGGGUUUACACCUUUUUGGUGAAACACAUCUGCCGCGCCUCCCACGCCUUCGCCUGUUGCAACUCGCGGACCUAGCAGUCCGGCUUGCGACGCUUCCUCCCUGCACGUGUGGAUACCUUGGAAGUGUUGCUCCUGCAGCACUUGGACGAGCCGCCAACGAGCCACGACGAGCCACGAUGAGCCGACGAUGAGCCGCGGCACGAGGGGGAUCUUGCUGCACGUGGACGAGCUGCUGAGGAGCUGCUGGACGUCGAUGUGUUCGACUACGUACGACUACGCUGAUCGACUUCGCUGCAUCAACGCGAAUCUACAUCUUCCGCAUCAUUGCAUCGAGUGGUAAUCCCGUGAUCCUGAUACGGCAGUUUUCCUAGUUUACGCGGUAGAAAAUUUUGUUUUGUGCUAGUGUAGCCUAACUCAUAUCCCAACAACGUGUGCUAUAGGUCACGCAAGCCUGAAAAUGGCCACACCGGACACCGGGUACGAAAACAUGGGGGAUGGACCGAACAUUUGAAAAUGGCCUCCAUAUGUGUUUUCGGCUAUGAAAAUGUGUGUUAUAGGUCACAGAAGCUUGAAAACGGCCGCACCAGCCACUAGGGACGAAAACGUGGGGGAUGGACCAAAGACAUAAAAAAUAGCCUCCAGACGCGUGUUCGGCCAUGAAAACGUGUGGUAUAGGUCCUGGAAGGCCAAAAACAGCUACACCGGCCACCUGGGACGAAAAAGUUUGUGUAAGACCGAACACUUGAAAAUAGCCUCUGGACGCGUGUUCGGCUAUGAAAAGGUGUGUUAUAGGUCACACGAGCCCCAAAACAACCACAGCGAACACCAGCUACAAAAACAUGGGGGAUGGAUCGAAUAAUUGAAAAUGGCCUCCAGACGUUUGUUCGGCCAUGAAAUCGUGCGUUAUAGGUCGCGGGAGCCCGAAAACGGCCACACCGGCCACCGGGAAUGAAAAUGUGGGGGAUGGACCGAACAAUUAAAAAUGGCCUCCGGAUGUGUGUUCGGCCAUGAAAACGUAUGUUAUAGGUCACGGGAGCAUGAAAACGGCCGCACUGGCCACUGGGGACGAAACGUGGGGGAUGGACCGAAGACGUGAAAAUAGCCUCCAGACGCAUGUUCGGCCAUGAAAAUGUGUGCUAUAGGUCAUGCAAGGCCAAAAACAGCUGCACCAGCAACCGGGGACGAAACCAUGGCUGUCAAACCGAACGCUUGAAAAUCGCCUUCGGACGCGUGUUCGGAUAUGAAAACAUGUGUUGUAGGUCACGCGUGCCCGAAAACGUCCACAACGGACACCGGGUACAAAAACGUGGGGGAUGGAUCGAAUAACUGAAAAUGACCUCCGAACGCGUGUUCGGCCAUGAAAACGUGUGUUAUAGGUUGCGGGAGCCCAAAAAUGGCCACACCGGCCACCGAGGAUCAAAACGUGGGGGAUUGACCGAACAAUUAAAAAUGGCCUCCGAUUGUAUGUUCGGCCAUGAAAACGUGUGUUAUAGGUCAUGGGGGCCCAAAAAUGGCCGCACCAGCCACCAAGGACGAAAAUAUGGGAGAUGGACCAAAGACAUGAAAAUGGCCUCCAGAUGCAUGUUUGGACAAAAGUGUGUGCUAUAUGUCGUGCAAGGCCAAAAACAGCUACACCAGCCACCGGGACAAAAACGUGGGUGUUUGACUAAACAAGUGAAAAUGGCCUCCGGAAGCAUGUACGGCUAUGAAAAUGUGUGCUAUAGGUAAUGGAAGGCUAACAAAAGCUACACCGGCCACCGGGGACAAAAUCAUGGGUGUCAGACUGAACACUUCAAAAUGGCCUCCGGACGCGUGUCCGGCUAUCAAAACGUGUGUUAUAGGUCAUGCGAGCCCGAAAACAACCACACUGAACACCGGGUACAGAAACAUGGGGGAUGGACUGAAUAACUGAAAAUGGCCUCUAGACGCGUGUUCGGUCAUGAAAACAUGUGUUGUAGGAUGCGGGAGCCCGAAAACGGCCACACCGGCCACCAGGGCAUGGACCAAACAAUUGAAAAUGGCCUCCGGAUGUGUGUUCGGCCAUGAAAACGUGUGUUAUAGGUCACGGGAGCCCAAAAAUAGCCGCACCGACCACUGGGGAUGAAAUCGUGGGGGAUGGACCGAAGAUGUGAAAAUGGCCUCCAGAUGCGUGUUCGGCCAUGAAAACGUGCGCUAUAAGUCAUGUAAGGCUAAAAAUUGCUACACCGGGACUAAAGCAUCCCCCAUGAGUUACAAUAAAAGGAUUGUAUCCUCUACUCAGUCGGAUGUACUGUGUAGGUGAGAUGGUAAGGAAGCUAUGCGCGAGGUUUGAGGUUGUGGGUUGAAAUCCUACGCACCGCGCGCACACGCGCAUAUUUUGUGUGAAAAAUCAUGUGACUUGUGAUCGGCCAAGGAGAAGUGGGUGCAGCUGUGGCUUAAGUGGCUGAGGCACGCUGCCAUAGACAUCUCCGAUUUGCUCGAAGACUACCAAGACACUAGCAAUAACAAGAACUACUGCUCUUCCUAGCAGACUCUUUACAACCACUUUAAAGCUGUGCAUUUCUCAAUGUAAUUUCGUAGAAGGCAAUCGAUCCAACCAAGCGACUAAAUCAUUUGUUCUUGCCAAUGAUGUACAUCAGGUUUUCUAUAUGAAGGACAUGUCUAGCAAACCUAAGAUUUUAGAAGAAAAAGAAAAAUUAUGGGAGUCAAUAAUAAAUCAGGCCAAUCAGGAGAUUAUAGUAAGCUCGAUGGUAUGCCUCCAUUCGAUGUCGAAGUUGGCCCAAGCAUCAUGUUAGCCAAAGAUCAAAUGUUCGUGCAUUGCUACGGUAAAGAUCAAUUGUGUCUUUUAAACCCAUGGAAUUUUUUAUCUAUGUUUUUAUUACACUUAAUGGAUGUCUACACAUUUGCUAGAAAAUCAAAAUAAUUUUGACUUAAUUAUUUCUUUCAACUCAAAUACUCAUUAAAUUUCUACCUUUUUAUUUAAGCAAGAGAGUUGCUCAAAAAAUGGAUACGUAACCAUGUUGUAUCAUACAAAGCAACCACAUUUCACAUAUAGUCUGGCUUAGCAAACACCAUUGUUGUCUUAACAUAGUGUUCAUGAGUUAGUAGACAUGGAUCUAUUUCUAAUUGCAAGUAGUGCAGCGUACAACCAGCCUGCACCGCCGCAGCUCAAUAUGCGAUAAUUUUUUAUCUUCCCAUGUAAUUUUUCUACUCUAGUACAUAUUGAACUCCACAUAAAUGUCAUGUUCUUUCACGCCACAGACGGUUUCUAAAGUUUGGAACUAAAUAGAUAGCCAAAAAUUUUAAAAAAAUAUUUAUAUGGAUACAUGUAUGUUCUUUGCAAACUAACAAUAUUGUUUACAAUAUCAAAAGGAAUAUGGCUAUGAUCAUUGCCGCAUAUGGCAGGUGAUGGUAGAUGCCGUAUGGGGUUUCUUUAACUUAAUUGUAUAAUAAGCUGAAAUACAUUUUCUAUUUGCAAAUGAAUCAUAGCUGAAAGUGGUGGGAUUGUAGAACCGCCGGCCAUCGUGUCCUUGUAGGACCGCUGCACGAGCCUGUGAGCCACCAGCCACCAUGCGCCCAAGGGCCAUCACCACGCCAUAAGAGGAUGCUGUCUACCCGGUUUCGCGCGCCUGUGCUAGCUGCCUGAACCUGGGCCGCCGCCGGUCGCCUGCCCAGCCGCGCGUUGCGCCAGGGUUUUGCUGGUGACGACCAUGGCCUUCGCGAUCAAAUUAAAAAGUUAUCAACUGCAAAGUAUUAGGUCUCGUUGAGCUCUACAAUUUUGAUAUAAAGUUUCUAUUCAUCCGAGAUCAAAUAAAAAAUUUGAUACUCAAAGCAUAAAUCCAUUAAUCUAGUCUUGCUAAUCCUUACCACCAAAUAAAAAACUAGCAUGUGUUGUGUGUUUGUGACCCUAAACGAUCACAAAUGAAUAACUUAUGGGCCUUGCUAGCGCCCGGAUGUCCAGGCCGGGGCACUAGCAUCAGACCCACGAGUAGCCGUCCGAUCAGGUUCGACACCACUUCAGGAUCUGGCUUAAAAAGAAGUCCCACCGAAACAUUGUUCCAUGUUGCAUGAAGCAACCCACUACCGUCGCCAGGUCUAGAGCAAGCACCACCUUCAAAUGUGCUGCUCACCCUAGCUAAAUAGGGGCAUUAAAAUAUUUCUCGCAUAUCCUUCUCAAAUUAAACAAAAUCGCAACAUCUGAAAAUUUUUACAGAAAACCAUGAAACAUAUCGAUUAGAUAGAUGUAACAAGAUGGAAUAUGGUAUAUGCAACAUAUAGGUUCCGAAAAGCAGAUGAAAUAUUAUGUAAUGAUUCUUGAAACAGUCAAGAAAAAUAGAUGUAACAUCUAAAAUUAAGAAAAGAAGCUUUAUGCAAAUUGCAAAAAGCUGAAACAAGUGGUUGAAACAUUUCAAAUCACCAAAUGCCACAUUUGAAAUGACCAGAUGAAACAUCACGAAAUCAAUUGCAACAGUUGAAGAUGAAAACAUUCAAAUGCCUUGCCUUUCUCCAAAUUUGACCCUCCAAGCAUGAGUCCAGCCAUUUGCACAUUAGACCCUUGGGAGGAGCUCACCGGAGAACAACAAGACCGUGUUAUCCAACAAUUUUCAGAUCAAAUUGCAACAUAAAGAACAAAGCAUUGCAACAUCUGGCAUCACGAGCUACAACAGCAACCAGUUAGGAUCAGGAGAAAGAGGGCAAACACAAGCCUAACAAUGAGUUAUAUCCGGUUUAAACAAGGAUAAAAAUGAGUGUAUUUUACACUCAUCAUGUUGUCUUUUCGCAGCUGUACCGCCUUUAGCGUGUUGUAUUGUUCCUAACACCAAGUCUCCGAGGCCCGAAAAAAUAAGGAAAGUGGUAGCAGCUCAGAAAUCGACUAAGUUUCUUUCCCCCUUUGGCUUUCCUACUAGGAUUCGGAAUCCUCUUUCGUAUGACAAUCUUAAUGAUCUCCCAUAGUCCAAAACUCACAAAAACAUCAAAAAUCCACCGAGAAUAAAUUAAGUAAAAAAACAUGCACACACAGAUAAUAAUAGUAAUCAUGUUUCAUUAUGAUUGCUAAGGUCAGACACAAUACAUAAACAUAUUAGACUGAGUGACCCACCUCACCUCAGAGUAUGCACCAUGUCUGAGUGACCCACCUCACCUUGCCAGGACACUGGUCCUGCCCUCGUGGUUCACGCGCCCUCGUGGUUCAGCAGUGGUCAGUACACAAAUCUAGCUGCCAGUCGGAUCCAAGGGCAGGCAUUUGCAUUGUGGUUGUGUUUGAACAUGGAGAUGUCAUUAUUAUUGUCAGGCACCAUACAUCCUCUCUCAGUUUCACUCCGCCUCACACACGGAUAGCACACCAGGGACCCGACACCAUGCAUGCCGAUUUCAUAUUAUUAAUAUUUAAUUUUUUUAAUGGUUGUUGAAACUAUAUUGUUGAUAUUUUUAUACAUAAUUUACGACCUAAUUUGGAUAUAUUUUUGAAAUAUUCCGAAAUCUUAAAUUCACACGUCUAGAGAUACAGUUAGUCCAAUCUGAUGUUUCCGAUUAUAAAAAUGAACAUAAAGAGAUAGGAAGCGAGAGACGUGAGGGGGAAAGUUAAAUUAGGGCCUAAGGGGUGAAGUUAGGGUUCCAGGUGAGCUGUCAUCACUACGUGUUUUUAAUCGAAAUUGGAAUGUCAGCAAUCGUCAGAUCUUGAGCCAACAGUUGAGACUGCCUCGGAAUGGUAAUUAGGUCUGCGCGAGCUUGCAUUGUGGCCUUCCUUGAAACCUUGGACAUAGGUGUUAUAUUAUUAUGUUCUUGCCAGCACACAGCAGUGAAGGACGACACAGUUGAGAUGUGCAUCACAUUUUCUAUAUGAAGGAUAUGUUUAGCAAACCUAAGAUUUUAGAAUAAAAAGAAAAAUCAUGGGAGCCAAAGCGCCACAUAGUUCUUCCAGGUAAAAAAAAAUCAUCCACUGGACCAGCACAUAGUAACGAUCCAAAAAGUCCAUAUUAAGAUUUUUUGAUAGCAGAAAAAACAUAAAAUGUCUAAUAUUUGUAGUAUUAAAAGGAAAAAUAAUAUAUUCACGUGACCUUUUUCCCGUAGCAAGGCACCGGUACGUGGUCAGACUUAAUGCACGAUGCCUAAGCAUCCAUUGGGCCUACCCUCGUGUGGAUCACGCGCAACAGGACACGGCUCACAAGCUAUGAUGUGCAGCAGUCGCUCAGAUGGCUGAAAGGUACCCUUAAUUUGAAUGGUACCAUAUAUAUAUAUAUAUAUAUAUAUAUAGUAAACAAGACAAACCACCGUUGAUACUACUUUGCACUACUUGAUACAUAUAUCUCCACCAAAAGCGAGGCACGUGGGGAGGAGAGAUAUGUGGUUGAUGGUGCGGGCACGUGGCGAGUGCACCGUACGAAAAUUUUGCUCGUGUCGGACGACUGAUGUGAAGCAUUACCCAAUCUUAAUUAUCUCCCAUAAUCCAAAACUCACAAAAACAUCAAAAAUCCGCCGAGAAUAAAUUAAGUAAACCAUGCACACACAGAUAAUAAAAUUGCUAAUAAGGCCAGAGACAAUACAUAAACAUAUUAGACUGUUCAUGACACAUAUCACGGUGGAUAGUGUCUGUGUCCUUAUUACAAGCAAUGAGAGAUGCUUGUCACCACACACACGCGCACAGAUGCACAACAUACAUAUAGUUGAGACCAACAGAUGGAUCAACUAGAGGUCACCCCAUAUGGUGAACAAUUUAUUGGAGAUAAACAUUAACAUAACUUGGCCAUAGCUUGAAGCAUAGCAACAUAUGCCUAUGAACGGCGUUCAUGCUAUCAUUUUAGGCUUGUCCGCUUCUUCCAUCUUAGCAAGCACUUCCAUUUCUACCAUCUUAGAAGCAACUGUCAAAUUGAGAUAUGGAAAUCCCAUUAGCGCAUGAGUUAAUUUUGCAGUGAAAAUAGAGUACAAGAUAUCUUCAUGAUGUAAGUAACAUGCCUGAAGUUGUGAGAUGGGAAGUGAAGUCAACAAAUUACAUUAACGGAAAUGCAUGGAAGGCCACACAUACGUAUUAGUCCAUGAUAUGCUACAAAGCUUGUAUGUACAUAUAGCAAAUUAAAUGCAUUAAUUGAAUAGAGUGAGUUUAGUGAAUUUACCAGAAUCGUCCAGAAAACAUGGGAAACAGCAAGUGUUCUUGCAGACUGCGUCGGUGCCACCCACAGCAAUACAACCAAAACAACAUGCUUUUGCCCGAGCGGCUGCGCAGCAGCCGCACUCUGCCGCGGUGGCCGAGUUAGCAUUGAGGCUCAAGAUGACCAGGCACAUGAUCACCAUCAAAGCGGUGGUAGUCCUCUUUCCCUCCAUUGCCUCCUCUUGCUGCUACCUUCCUUGGUUACCUAGCUAAGUUUAUUGGUUUUGUGUUGAGAGGUGAUUCUUGCAUUGAAUGGACGUUGCCGCGGCUGCAAUUUAUAGGCAGCUGCGCUAUGUGAUGAUAUGGACAAGGUGCAAAUGGGUGGUCCUGAUAUGGAUAAGGUGCAUGCGAAUGGCUGUCUACUUGUAUAGUGGCGCUCCAAUGUACAUACGUAUGUAUCUUAUGCAUGUAUACAGUUGAUGGAUGUACAUGUUUGUUGCACAAAUUAUUCUGAACCAACUCUUCAUAACAGGUCUUUGUUACCAAGUAAUUUUACUUUUGCACGUUUCAGCCGAGAGGCAGAAGAGAAUAUUUUACAGAGAGGGCAGAGAAGGAGGUUGGCGGAGGCGCCGUGGUAGGGUUCCCCGUGUCGCCAAGAUUUUUGCAUUUUAGAUGUGUGUAUUGAUCACUUCGUCGUGCUCGCGGGGCCCAACUCCAGGUUGUACCCCAGCAGACCACGUUCUGUUUCUCUGCCUCCAAUGAGCAUGCAUGCCUCCACAAGGACCACAAGACUUAGUAAAAAAGCUAAACUUUGCAACACGAUGUAUACAGAACGUUUUGAAAUGUACUCUCGUUAGGCAUUCACCUCCUUAACAAUCACUGCGACUGUAAAAGAGGUACAUCGACGCUAGCUAAAUAAACCACUAUAAGAUUUAGCAAGAGAUCAUUUUAUACAAUCCUGUAACGAAACAAUUUGACAAUUAUAGUGUCCAUAUAUUUUGACAAAAAAACGUUUAAAUUAUAUAAGGAGGUGGGCCCGAAAACGGUUGGAUUACAUCGAGAACGUUUUGAAACAGUUGGCGGAGCAGGAUUCUGGCGUGGAGCAUCUACAUUGUCGCGCGCGCGGACUGCCGGAGUAGGCACGCUCGACUUGUCCCAUCGCCAGCUAAAUGAUUUAGUACCGGAUGGUCUCUAGUACCGGUUGGAGCUACCGUCCACCAGGAGCUUUUCUAGUUUGGAACUGGUACUAAUGCUAAUAUUAGUAUCAGGUCAAAAACAAUCGGUACUAAGGCUAGGGAUGACACGUCAUUUUUCUAGUAGUGUGUGCAAUUGGUUUUGUAAUUAGUCUAUAUUUAAUACUUCUAAUUAGUAUCUACACAUUUUAUGUGACAGGGACUGAACUUUAGUCCGUGGAACCAAACACCCCAUAAGUAUGUUUGGUGCUGUAAGGAUUUCGGUUUUAUUUAAUUUCCUAGGCAUUUAAAUUUCUUUCUAAAAUAAGUUAAUGAAUCAUAGGAUCUCAUUGUUGUAUUCAAGCUGGUGCAUUGAUUUUGCCUAUAAAACCCGCCGCGGUCUUCGCAGCCCCCAUCAAACCCUAGCGCCCUUGCCACAAGCUCAGCACCGCUGCCGCCCGAGCUCGAGCACUAGCACCCACCCAUCGCCGUUGCCUUCCCGUCGAUGGGAUCACCGCCCGGAGCUUCGCAUCGUGGUAAGGAAGCCGCCCGUGAAGAUCCCAUGUGCUCCUAUGCCCUCUACCGCGUCCCCGAGUUCCCGGAGUUGCUAGUCUCCCACCGAGCCGACUCUCCGAGCUUCACGUCACUGGUGCCGCUCCGAAGACCUAGUUCGGUUCGCCAUGCACCUCGCUUCAUCCUGAGCUAAACCCCAUAAUGAAUGGUGGUCGGAUGCUCGCCGCCACGGCGCGUCGUCUUUUCUGUCGCCCGUGCAUUGCCUAUCCCCUUCCAGCCGAUUGCAGCUGUCCGAUCGCAAACCGGUGGCCCUGAUCGGAUACCAAGGUCAAUACCGGUCGAACCGAGCCGUGCGCUGCUUUUGCAAGAAGGCCCCUGUUUUUCUCUCUUUUUGCACCUGAGGUCCUACGCAGUUCAAAAGUAAUAAGAUCUAGGUCCUUUUUCUUUUGUUUUAGCCCGUGUUCUUUUAUAAAAUCCCGCCCACUAUUCUGUUUGGUCUUUUGACGCGUUAGACCUUCUUUUUAUAUGUUUAAUUAGGUUUUAGGUCUCGAUUUCUUUAAGUUUAGCCCUUGAAAGUUUAGUUCUCUCGCAGUUAAGCCCCUGAACCUUGUUUAGCUCAUAUCUUAAGCGUUUUAAAUCCGUUUUAACAGAUUCUUGCGCCUAUAAGUUCAUGUUGACGCAUAGAUUAGUUGACUUAUACGAACCUUGCUGAUUCAGCUCCUUGAUUGUGCUUCAGAUCUCGCUAGGGAAGAAUAAUGGAUGGGCUUUGGUUGAGCUUGUAGAUCGACUUGCAGUUGCAGUGAAUGAGCAGAGGAUUGGCAGUGAAUAAGAUCAGGCCGCUGCCCUGCUUGGUAGGGAAAAUAUCUGCUUGCUACCAAGGCCUGUGACGCAUGGACCCCAUUGAGAGUGCAUUAUUGACAAGGACUUAAAGCCAAGGGCUCCACACCUGUCAUUGAUCAGCUGUCUGCUGGGCGCUGCAAGGAGGUAGUGCAUGUUUGACAUAAAGAAGCAGGUGGCCCAGGAUUUACGAAAAAUAAGGAUCUAUUUGAUACCCUUGCUUAUAUUUAGGGGCUAAAAGUUGCUUAUUUGAAGUUGCUUAUUUUUAAUCCUAGCUGUUUGAUUGCAUGGGCUAAAGAGCAUUGAAUGAGGUGGAUAUUGUCAUGUUUGCCUCUAAUGAUUGCUUCCCAUCACAUUUCUCCCCCCUCAUUCAACGAGGGAAGGAGGUGUAAAGUGCACCUUUUAGCCCCGAUAAGUAACCCUUGUGUUGUUUACGGGCUGAACAUAAGUAGCUAAAGUUUAGCUCCAAUAAACAAGAGUGUUUGGUAUUUUUGGGGUUAAAAGGGGCUAAACUUUAGCUGCUUAUGCAUAAGCAAGGCCAUCCAAAUAGGCCCUAAGUAUGUUUGGCGUUGUAAGUAGGUUUUAUUUAAUUUCCUAGGCAUUUAAAUUUCUUUCUAAAAUAAGUUAAUGAAUCAUAGGAGUUCAUUGUUGCAUUCACGCUGGUGCAUUGAUUUUGCCUACAAAACCUGCUGCCGUUUCCGCAGCUCCCAUCAAACCCUAGCACCCCCGCCACGAGCUCCAGCGCCGCUGCCGCCCGAGCUUGAGCACUAGCGCACACCCAUCGCCGUCGCCUUCCUAUCAAUGGGAUCACCGCCCGGAGCCCGUGUCAUGGUAAAGAAGCCGCCCGUGAAGAUCCCGUCCACUCUCGUGCCCUCUACCGCGUCCUCGAGUUCACCGGAGUUGCCAGUCUGCCACCCAGCCGCCUCUCCGAGCUUCAUGUUGUCGUUGCCACUCUAGCUGCCUCUCUGAAGACCUAGAUCGGUUUGCCGUGCACCCCGCUUCAUCCUGAGUUAAACCCCAUCAUGCCACGUCAUAGUAAGGAAGCUGCUCAUGAAGAUCCCGUGCGCUCCCGUGCCCUCUACCGCGUCCCCAAGUUCACUGGAGUUGCUAGUCCACCACCGAGCCGCCUCUCCGAGCUUCACUUCACAGUCGCUGCUCCAGCCACCACUCUGAAGACCUAGAUCAGUUCGCUGUGCACCCCACCUCAUCCUGAGCUAAACCCCAUGACGAACUGUGGUCGGAUGCUCAUUUUCGAGUGAAUUCCGGCGAGAUGGUCGCCCGCCGCCGCCAUCUCCAUCGCCCAUGCACCGCCUGUCCCCUUCCAGCCGAUGUCCGAUUGCAAACCGAUAGCCGAAAUCGGAUGUGGUCACCAGGAUUAAUACCAGUCAAACUAAGCCACGCGUGCCGCUUUUGCAAGAAGGCCCCUAUUUUUCCCUCUUUUUGCACUUGAGGUCCUAUGCAGUUCAAAAGUAAUUAGAUCAAGGUCCUUUUUCUUAUGUUUUAGCCCUAUUCUUUCAUAAAAUCCCGGCUGCCAUCCUGUUUGAAAUAGAUACGGUUAUAGAUAUGCAAACAUCUGCAUAUUUCCAACCGUAUCUCUUUCGAACGGGAGACGCCUAACUAGGUUACGUGACAUACGAACAUCAUACGGAUAGAGAGGGGUAGGAUGUCUCACCUUGCUAUCCUACAAAGUGACGACUCGAGGACAGUAAUGUAGCCUCUCCUUCAAAAAAAGAACAUACUACUAUCAAGUUAAAUUUUUGACAGCACCUCCCCUGCACGUGGAGGUUUCCAUAACCUGCAUCAAAUAAAACGGCACGAUGGCUGACAACCACAUCUACAGCACCAGAAUGGCACGAUGGCCGACUUCCACAUAAAGUUCUUAUACCUUAGAUUGCCAAGUCAAACAUCCUUUUCUAAUUUCUAAAACAAAAGCCCUCCCACCUCUCUAUCUUAUACUUUCCUAUUUACUAAUUGCUUUUGUAAUUUCUAAUUUCUAUUUCAUCCUACCACCUCUGUACCCUUUUCUCAUUUCUAAUUCCAAUUUUCUAACUUGAAGAGCAAAGAUUGAUUACUAGGAGGGGUGAGGGACGCCGGCCUAGAGAGGCGAGGGGACGUCCGGCGGCGGCGGGUGCGUCGGGGGUAGGAUGCCAGGGGCGGCUGCAGGGGCGCCGGGUUGGGGGCGGCCGGGAUCGAGGGCACCAGUAGCGGGGGCACCGGGCCGGGGGCGGCCGGCGGGGCGGGACGCCAGGGCCGGGGCGACGGGCGCCGGUGGCGAGGCCGCCCGGCCGGUGGUGGCCGGCGUGGCGCCUGGGCCGGGGGGGGGGGGCGGGCGGGGUGCGGCGCGGCGCGCCGGGGCAGGGCGCCGAGGCUGGGUGGUGGGGUACGGGGCGGCGGGCGGGGGGUGGGGGGAGGGUCGGCGGCGGGGCGCGGGGGCGGCCAGCGGCGACGGCGGAGGGCGUCGGUGGUGUUUCGGAAGUGAUACGGAGGGGGUAGAGAGAUUCGUUUUCGCGGCUGAGUGUUCGAGUCAGAAGGCCGUGCGGCUUAAGUCAGGUGGUUUGCCGAGUGCGCGCGAUCUGGCACUCGGCAAAGUCAGAAGUUUUGCCGAGUGUCAGAUCGCGGGCACUCGGCAACUGCAGCUUUUGUCGAGUGCCCUGGAUUCGGCACUCGGCAAAGUGAAGUUUUAAUUUUUUUUAAAAAAAUUUAAUCGGAACACGGGCGUGCCAGCGGGCCCGUGACAUACUUUGCCGAGUGUGUAGCAAAAACACUCGGCAAAAUAUUAUCUUUACCGAGUGUUUUCGCUAGGCACUCGGCAAAGUACACUUAUAUUUCAUGUACACUUUUUCAAUAACGUGUUUUACUAACCUUUUUCUGAUAUACUUGGGAAAAACCUUAUCAAAUUCACUCAACAAUGGAUAUAUGGUUUUUCUACUGACAUUAUUCCAUUAUUUCAUUCAGUUAUAGCUCAAAUUGAAUUUAUAUCUAUUAAAAAUCAAUAAUUGCAUUUAAUAAAUAAAAAAUACCAAACGGAUCUGAAAAAUUUCCAAAAUUUGACAUGAACCAAUCUAUGUUGUAUGUUGCCUGUACAAAAAGCUUUGAAGUCAAACCCCAAUUCAAGUGUCACUUGGACUCCAAAUCUUAUCGGAUCCUUUCUAACUUCUAUGAAUCCUUUCGGGAGAUGAGUCGGUUUGUAAGCAUCAUAUGUCAUAAAUUGGGCGAAACCUUCUCAAUUUUUUACCACAGCCUCCACAUAUAAUAUCAUGACACCUUGACAAAUCUUGUGAUUUUCAGACUUCGUUUGCUUUUUUUAGAAUUUAACAACCAUUCAACCACAUGUUCGUGAUCGUGUUUUCUAAAAAAAUGUUCAAAAUUUCUUUUCAUUUCCUGGUUGAGACCUCAAUCCGGAUUGAAUAAUAUGAAUAUGAUUUUUUCACUGAUUUUAAUCCAUUAUUUAAAUCACUUGCAGUUAAAUUUGACUUAAAUAAACAAAUUCCUAUUAAUGCUAUCAAUUCAUUAAAAAUAGCAAACAGAGAAAAAAUAGACCAACUUUUAAGAUGGAUUACCAAAUGUCAUAUGUGGGGAGUAGAAAAAGUGUGGAGAGCAGAGGUGGAAAAAAAAGUUUUGCCUUUGCCAAGUGCCUACACAAACACUCAACAAACUUUGCGGAGUGCCUAUUGAAAACACUCAGCGAACUUCUGAGUUUGCCGAGUGUCUGGAGGGAGCACUCGGCAACCUACUUAUUUGCCGAGUGUCCGCGUCGGACACUCAGCAAAGUACUAACGGCUGGCACACUCCCCUAACGGACGGCGCACGUGCAAGCCAUGUGCUGGAGAUUUAUCGAGUGUCAAAUCGUUGCCGAGUGUCGUGUGGAUGUUUGCCGAGUGUCUUAUUUGUGACACUCGGCAAAGCUAUUGUUUGCCGAGUGUAUUAUUUAUGCCGAGUGUCUUCCAGUAUACACUCGGCAAAUGAUGUCUUUGCCGAGUGCUCGACAUAAAGCACUCGGCAAAAAUUUUACACUCGGCAACAUUCCUGUUUCCGGUAGUGAGUGACCCGGGACUAAAGACCCCCGUUGUCUCUGAUUGCUUUAUUCCGGAUGGAUUUUCAGGAGAUUUGCUCCCUACCAAUAGGGACUAAAGGCAAGUUUUCCACUUAUAGCAAACCAGUUAGCCCAUUGUUGAUGGAACGCAUCACUAGAAACAGCUCGGGAUCCACUUGUCCAAUAAUCGAGAGGGCCUAUAUAUGGACCACGUGUGCGGAUCCCUAAUUAGGAAAAAAGAAUAAUGGAGUAGGACAUCUCCAUGCUCACCUAGUAGCCGCUGCUAGCUUGUGCGUGUGGAACACGAGUGCCGGCCCAGUUGGCGCUAAGACAUCGUACGUGCAUUAAGGCUACGAUCUCUUUCUUCUAACUCAUGCUUGUGCUAUUAUACAUUAUUGCAUGAUCAUCAAGAUAAGAUCGUAUAGUGACUGAGUGAGACAUGUAUGUACUAACAUGCAUUUAAGCCUCGAACUGUGUGUUGUUACGUGAGCUGCCUCCUCACCUCGCCUCUGAAUUAUUGAACCGUUUCCAACAGUGUUGGUCUCAAAUAAAUUUGACACCAAACAGAUUUAUGAAGAAGAGAGAAUAAUACUUGGAAUUGGAAAAAGUUUAUCUCUCUUUACAAUGGAGUAGGGCUCCCUUUUAUAGUGACCCAUAAGCCACUUUACAUUUGGAAAAUGUCCUUCCUCAACCACUACAUUAAUUCCUAGGAUAUGCUGUACAUAAAGGUCAUUUGAGGUAACGUGUACAAAUGAACUCUUCCACAUGGUCACGUUUCUCAUGCCUCCUGUUUUCCAACCUCGAGACAUCAUCUUCACGCCAAGUUGAUCAUCUAGCCUCGAGGCUCCAUCCACGAUCCAGAAUGAACGUCCAGGCUUGAGGCUCCUUCUUCGUUAAGCUUUGUUGAGAACUCAUAACCUCACAUAGUUCUCCUCCGAGUAUUGUUCCCGACUCAGAACACUCGAGGUUUAGCUCAGUUGGAGUUUAGCUAUUACUGUUGCUAGUCACCAGCCUCGAGCCCCUCCAGAAGCAAGGUGAUGCGAGGGUACGAGUUUUACUAUUAAAGGUGUUUCCAUAGAAUGUGCGAGGUUAAAGCACUUGCAGCAAAAGCGUGGAGCUGCUUUCAACCAGAGUGCAAUAAUGCAGCCGUGCCCAUCUUGGUCUUGGUCUCCGCCUGAACUAUAGCAGAUGCUGGCAGCGGUAGCAGGGUGGUCCAUUAUAUCUAUGGAUGGCAAUGGUCGGAUUCGGAUGGAAUCGAAUUCGAAUAGCACUUUUUACCACAUACUAAUUCAAAUCCGAAUUCGGAUUCGGAUGUUCUCGAAUGCGAAUGCAAAAUGGAUGGUUCGAAUUCGAAUACUUAGCGGAUUUUUGCAUAAUAUUAAUCGAAUAGAAUUCAUUAAAUUUAGCCAAGAAAUUAAAUUUUCUGAAAUUAAAUACUUUCCCUUCGCCCCAGCGGCGGCCUAACUCCCAGGACGGUGGCGUGCGGGGCCCGAGCAUCCCUGGCCUCUAGUGGCGUGGCGGGGCGGCAUCCAGCAGCAGCGGCGGGGCUCGGCCUCCGGUGGCGCGCGGCCAGCCCGACCUACCCGGUCAGAGGUGGCGCAGCGGUGCGCGGGCCUCCCCGACCAGAGCCGGUGGGGAGCGGUGCGCGGGGAGGACCUCCCCAGCCGGAGGUAGCAGGGCGCGACCUCCCCGGCCGGAGGUGGCUCCCUGUGGGGGCGCGGCCGUGACAGCUAGCGAGGCAAUAAUUGCUUCCGUACGCAGCAAUAAUUGCUUGUGCGACACCGUGUUAUUACUCUGGUACAGUACUCCCUCCGUUGCAGUACACUGGUCCAGGCGUCAGGACACUGCUCCUGCCCUCGUGGUUCACGUGCAUCAGGCCAGCAGACAAGCUAUGAUGUUGCCAACAGUGUUUGUUUGAACAUGGAGAUGUCAUUGUGAUUGUCAGGGACCCGACACCAUGCAUGCCGAUUUCAUAUUCUUAAUAUUUAUUUUUUUAAUGGUUGUUGAAACUAUAUAGUUACUCCAAUAUCACGUUUCCGAUUAUAAAAAUUAACAUAAAGAGAUCGGAAGGGAGAGCCCGCAUAAUGAAGCCGACGCGUAUAAUAAGCACUAGAGCCGGCAUUUAUACAAACGGGUACGCAUAGUAAAAACUAGAAUUUAUAAAUAAAUGAAGAUAUUCAAAUAUCUGGCUUACUUUUUUCAUUAAUUUUGCAUGAAUAAGGGAUGAUUCAUUAAUCAUUAUUGAACAAAUUGGCACACAUGCUUCGUGCCCGCGUUGUGAGCAUUAUGCGAUGCCACUGAGCUGCACCACCACGGUAGAGGGCCUGUUUGCGAUGCCACCGAGCUGCACCACCACGGCAGAGGGUCUGUUUGGGAAGGGGAAGUUAAAGUUUAACACCCCCCAUUUAACACCUUUUUAACAAAAUGGCUGCUAAACACUUGUGUUAAAAGAGUAGUGUUAAAAUUUAACACCUCUCUUUUCAUAAACACAUGGAGGGGGUGUUAAAAUUUGCUAAAUGUGUUAAAAGUGGUCCCCUCCCCACUUAUUCCUUGGUUGCCCCCCUCUCUCUCCUCCUCUCUCUCCUACCCGCCGCAUUUAAGAGCAUUAUUGAGGGGUAAUGCAGUCCUUUUCCAACAAAAGUGUUAAACUUUAACAACCCUUCCCAAACAUGCCACAAGCAACACCACCGGCUGACUGUGCUAGCGGGGAGCACCCUCACCGCCUGCCCGUGGGGACUUCUUCUGCCGGCCAUCGUGUCUUUGUAGGACCGCCGCGUGAGCCUAUGAGCCACCGGUGGCCGUGCGCCCAAGGGCCAUCACCAUGCCACCUGAGGAUGCUGUCUACCCGGUGCCGCGUGCCUCUGCUAGCUGCUUGCACCUGGGCCGCCGCUGGUCGCCUGCACAGCCACGCGUUACAGCCGCCCCCCUGCGCUGGGCCACCCCAUUUCGUGUUGGAAGAACUGCCACAGUCUCGCGCACUGGGGUUUUGCUAGUGACGACCAUAGCCUCCAAGAUCAAAUGAAAAAGUUGGUACUCAAAACAUACAUCCAUUAAUCUAGUCGUGCUAAUCCUUACCACCAAAUAAAAACUAGCAUGUGUUGUGUUUUUGUGACCCUAAACGAUCACAAAUGAAUAACUUAUGGGCGUUGCUAGCCUAUAAGUUAUGGGCGUUUGUGACCCUAGUCGCGCCGGGGUCUUGCUGGUGACAACCAUGGUCUUCGCGAUAAAGUAUUAAGUCUCAUCGAGUUCUACAAUUUUGAUAUAAAAUUUCUAUUCAUCCGAGAUCAAAUGAAAAACAAAUGAAAAAAUCCGAAGUAUUAGGCUUCAUCGAGCUCUACAAUUUUGAUAUAAAAUUUCUAUUCAUCCGAGAUCAAAUGAAAAAAUCCGAGAUCAAAUGAAAAGUUGGAACUCAAAACAUACAUCCAUUAAUCUUGAUAUAAAAUUUCUAUUCAUCCGACAUCAAAUGAAAAAGUUGGUACUCAAAAUAUACAUCCUUUAAUCUAGUCGUGCUAAUCCUUACCACCAAAUAAAAAAACUAGCAUGUGUUGUGUGUUUCUGACCGUAAACGAUCACAAAUGAAUAACUUAUGGGUGUUGCUAGCGUCCCGGACGCUAGCAUCGGACGCAUGAGCAGCCGUCCGAUCGGGUCCGACACCACUUCACGAUCUGUCUUAAAAAAAAGUCCCACCGAAACAUUGUUCCAUGUUGCAUGAAAUACCCCACUAUCCAUCGCCAGGUCUACAGCAAGCACCACCUUCCAAUCUGCUGCUCACCCAAGCUAAAUAGGGGCAUUAAAAUUGCAGAAAUAUGUCACAUAUCCUUGUCAAAUUAAACUAAAUCGCAACAUCCGAAAAUUUCUUACACAAAACCAUGAAACAUAUCGAUUAGAUAGGUGUAACAAGAUGGAAUAUGGUAUCCAACAUAUAGAUUCCGAAAAACAGAUGAAACAUUAUGUAACGAUUGUUGAAACAGUCGAGAAAUAUAGAUGUAACGAUUAAAAUUUAGAAAAGAAGCUUUAUGCAAAUUGCAAAAAGCUGAAAUAAGUGGUUGAAACAUUUCGAAUCACCAAAUGCCACAUUUGAAAUGGCUACAUGAAACAUCACGAAAUCAAUUGCAACAGUUGAAGAUGAAAACAUUCAAAUGCCUUGCCUUUCUCCAGAUUUGACCCUCCAAGCAUGAGUCCAGCCAUUUGCACAUUAGACCCUUGGGAGGAGCUCACCGGAGAACAACAAGACCGUGUUCUCCAACAAUUUUCUGAUCAAAUUGCAACAGACAAAACAAAGCAUUGCAACAUCUGGCAUCACGAGCUACAACAUCAACAAGUUAGGAUCAGGAGAAAGAGGGAAAACACAAGCCUAACAACCCCAAGACAAAACUGAUGUACUCAUCAUACAUCACGGCUUGCCGUGCACAGAGAUGAAGGCCGCCAAGCUCAAUCGAGACAGAGACGACGUGAUAGUGCUCCAGAUCGACGGUCCCCAUCAAUUGUUGCGUACACUGCCAAAAGCAAUGGAAGAAGAAGGGUCGUCCCUGCUCGACCUCCGUAGAUGAGCGCAGAUUGGGGGAAACCGUAUAGAGUGCCGCUGACAGCACAGGCGAGGGGGCUCAGGCUUGAUUCAGGGUGAGGGUAGCGGGUAGCAUGAGGAGACAGUCAGGUUUCAUAGGAGAGAGGCGGAGUAGAGAGCUCUGGUGACUCGGUGAGGAGGGUGCGGCACGGAGAAAGGUGUGUAGCUGAAGGAGCUACAUGGUUGGGGCGAGGCGAGCGUAGAGACUAGAGAGGGAAAAAAAGCAUGGGGAGGAGACGAUAUGUGGUUGAUGGUGCGGGCACGUGGUGAGCGCACCGUAUGAAAAUUUUGCUCGCGUCGGAUGACUGAUGUGAAGCAUUACCCAAUCUUAAUUAUCUCCCAUAAUCCAAAACUCACAAAAACAUCAAAAAUCCGCCGAGAAUAAAUUAAGUAAACCAUGCACACACAGAUAAUAAAAUUGCUAAUAAGGCCAGAGAUAAUACAUGAACAUAUUAGACUGUUCAUGACACAUAUCACGGUGGAUAGUGUCUGUGUCCUUAUUACAAGCAAUGAGAGAUGCUUGUCACCACACACACGCGCACAGAUGCAUGACAUACAUAUAGUUGAGACCAACAGAUGGAUCAACUAGAGGUCACCCCAUAUGGUGAACAAUUUAUUGGAGAUAAACAUUAACAUAACUUGGCCAUAGCUUGAAGCAUAGCAACAUAUGCCUAUGAAUGGCGUUCAUGCUAUCGUUUUAGGCUUGUCCAGCUUCUUUCAUCUUAGCAAGCACUUCCAUUUCUACCAUCUUAGCAGCAACUGUCAAAUUGAGAUAUGGAAAUCCCAUUAGCGCAUGAUUAAUUUUGCAGUGGAAAUAGAGUGCAAGAUAUCUUCAUGAUGUAAAUAACAUGCCUGAAGUUGUGAGAUGGGAAGUGAAGUCAACAAAUUACAUUAACGGAAAUGCAUGGAAGGCCACACAUACGUAUUAGUCCAUAAUACGCUACAAAGCUUGUAUGUACAUAUAGCAAAUUAAAUGCAUUAAUUGAAUAGAGUGAGUUUAGUGAAUUUACCAGAAUCGUCCAGAAAACAUGGGAAACAGCAAGUGUGCUUGCAGACUGUGUCGGAGCCACCCACACGAAUACAAAGCUGACAACAUGCUUGUGCCUCGUGGGAUACGCAGCAGCCGCACUGUGCCGCGGUGGCCGAGUUAACAUUGAGGCUCAAGAUGAACAGGCACAUGAUCACCAUCAAAGUGGUAGUCCUCUUUCCCUCCAUUGCCUCCUGUCGCUGCUACCUUCCUUGGUUACUAGUAAGUUUAUUGGUUUUGUGUUGAGAGGUGAUUCUUGCAUUGAAUGGACGUUGCCGCGGCUGCAAUUUAUAGGCAGCUGCGCUAUGUGAUGAUAUGGACAAGGUGCAAAUGGGUGGUCCUGAUAUGCAGGAGCGGAUCUAGGGCCCAGGCAGUUUAAAUUAAAGUCUCCUCAUAGGCAGUUUGACUAUGAUCAAUUUUACCUGUAUUUCUCAAUAUGUAGAUAAUUCUAUGCCAACAAUUAAAAACUAAUACAUAAUUUGACACGGUGUACCUCGAGAACGUUUUGAAAAUGUACUCUCUCGUUAGGCGUUCACCUCCUUAACAAUAACUGCGACUGUAAAAUAGGUACAUCGACGCUAGCUAAAUAAACCACUAUAAGAUUUAGCAAGAGAUCAUUUUAUACAAUCCUGUAACGAAAGAAUUUGACAAUUGUAGUGUCCAUAUAUUUUGACAAAAAACGUCUAAAUUAUAUAAGGAGGUGGGCCCGAAACAGUUGCAUUAGCAUAUGGUUACCCGUUUGUUGUCUUCCGGUCCUAAAAAAAGGACCAUCUUACUUAAAAAGGUUCUAUUAGGCCAUGCAGCCGGCUCUGUGGCACCAAAAAGAAAUUUUGACACGGUUUACAUCGAGAACGUUUUGAAACUAGACUUUGGUAAGCAGUUCAUCACCUGCUUAACAAUAACGGCGUACAUAGACGCUAUCUAAAUUAACCACUAUAAGAUUUAGCGAGAGAUCUAUUUUUUAUAAUUGCGUAUACCACUUUACGAGAGAGACGUCAAGAGCAUGAUGGUACACUUUGUAUAUAUCUUUGAAUUCCAGCUACGGGACUUUCUUGCCUUCGCCGAAAAAAUCUAUCGGUUUUAUCUUAAGGCCGAACAUCUCCCUCUCGUCAGCGAACUUCUUCAUGUACCAUUUAUGGAAUUUGUAUAUCAAAGCUUCCCUACCAACUCAGGCCUUACUGGAGAUUUGCCUAGCUCAAAGGUCCAUUUCAGUUCAACUAGCGGUCCAGCUGGCAGCUCAACUUGCCCAAGACACUCAGCAAGUCCCAUACCUAUUUCUUCCAUGAAUUUUAUUACUUCUGCUUGUUGAUGCAAGGGCAUUGCUGCUAUCUGUUUAGCGUCGUUUUCUAGUAGAUGCCCGAGGUGGGGGAUAGCACCACUUGAAGACAACUUUCCUUUCCUUUUUUUCCUCUCAUCAACCUUAACUAAUGCCCGUUCGUAGUUCGACAGUAGUGGCACUGACUUCUUGGUUGCUUCUUUCAUCUUUUUUUUAAAAAAAUAAUUCUCUUCGAUCUAUUAGCGGUGGCUCCAUCUCCUUUGCUUUUUUUUCUUCGACCCUUUUCUUGAACCACUCCCUGCAUUCUGCUUGGUUUCGGCCCAGCGUUCCGCUUGAGUCAUUGCCUCUUGGCGUUUCUCAGGAGUCACUUUAGGCUCCUUUAUUUUUUUCUUUCUCUAUCUUGGCUUGGGAGGCAAUGGUCGUGACUUCUUAAGUGGUGCUGCAGUUUCCUUGCUCUAGGCUUCUCUUAGUCCCGAUGACGAUGAUCGGGGAGGAGUGUUGUUGUCCUCGUCGUCGCUCGCACCACCAGGAUGUGGUGGAGAUGGAGACCUUGAUCGAGCAGGAAGCGACGGUCCCUGUGGUGACGACGGUCCUGGAGCAGGUUGUGCUGGAGAUGAUGGUCCUGGAGCAGGCCGUGGUGGAGAUGACGGUCUUGAGCUUUGGGGAGAGGGUCGCUGCUGGGGAUUUGUGGGGAGCAGUCUUGAGCUUUGAGGAGAUGCCUCAAUGCCGGGGAUGAUGAUGUAGCAUUUGUGCCAUAGAAUGAUCCCGUGAAGCGCAUAUCCUAGUGUCCUUUCCCCGUCACCUCCCGGGAGGUCGAGCUCUAGGCCUUCAUAUUGGCUAUCAACGAGCUGCUCUAGGCCGACGCUGGCGUAGCCAGGUGGAAUCUCAAUGCCAUGGCUUGUCUGCCCUGGCAGGAUUGGUAAGGCACUCUCAUACACCACCUGUACAUAUAGCAGAAAUAAAGAAGUUAUUAAACUCCGAUCCCGAGGUGUGGAUGGAUGAUUGAGAAGAUUGCAAAAAUAUCAUGUAUAAGUAUACCUUAAUGGUGAUGUUGUCGACCGAUUUAUGCAGCUCACAUGAGGUGCGUUGCGUGAUGACAUCCAUAGGGAACCGUUGCUCAACCAUGGGUAAUCCUUGCAUUUAUGGAUCGGGGAGCCCUGUGGAAGCACAGCUGCUCCCGAGGUGUUAAGAAGGGCUAGCGACGUUUGGAUCCGACAGUGCUCUAGAUUGGGCUAACUCCGCAACUGCUAGGGCCACUCGACAAUUGAUUUCCUCUUGCAUUCUUACUUCUUGUGAAUGCACUUUGGAUUCUAGCAUGCACCUCAAGGUCUCCUCAACAUGUUCCUUUCUUCGCUUGUGGCUUUGGUACGAAGCGAUGUCACCUUGAAAAGCGAACUUCCACGGAAUGACCCCGUACCCUCGGCAAUGUCUUGGGUGCUCGGGAUUCCCGAGGGCCAAUGUGAGCUCAUGAUUCUCUCGGUCCACCUUCAACCUCCGAGCCUUAGCAUCUUCAAUGUUCUUCAUAAGCCUUUCGGCCUUCUGACGUAUUGUCUCAUUGAAGAUCAAUGUCACAUCCUCUUUGGCUCAGGUUGCCUCCAUGAGCGUAACACCAAUUUUUCGAUUGAUCGGGCCAUUCAAGAGUUGCUGGUAUGAUACUCUGAUCAAUCAGGUUUUGUUCCAUCUUGCACCAUCUGGGAAUUGCUGUGCCCUAACCACCUCACCCUAGACGAUGAUGGUACUCCUUCUUGCCAGCAUUUGCAACGUUGGUCUUGACCUUAUUCGCACCGUCUUCGCUCGUCUUGUGUUCGACAAAUGCCUCCCAGUGGUCCCUCAACUUUUGCCACUCAUCGAAAUCCGGAGUUUAGCCAUUCUUGAUGAAUGUGGCAUCCAGCAUCUUCUUGAAUGUCUGGAAUUGUGUGGCCAUCUUCUUCAGCGUCCACGGUUUCACAUCAUCUUCAUUACAUCCUUCGGGAAAUGUGAAAUGUCUCUUAACAUCUGCCCACAGCAUAUUCUUUUCUGAAUCCGGGAGCGUGUAUGGAUUAGUACUUUUGUCCUUCCAUUCCCUGAUGCUGAUAGGCAGAAGCUAGAGACUAUUUCUUUUUCUAAAAAUACACAUGAGGGAGAAAAUUGGUAACAGCUAAACAGUGCAGAUUGCAUUUCAACACACGUUUUUAUAGCUGAGCACACGUCUGAAUCCCAUUUUUAAGUGUUCGGUCCUACACCCACAUUUUCAUCCCAGGUUGUCGGUUUAGUCAUUUUUUACCUUCCAUGACCUAUAGCACACAUUUUUAUGGUAGAACACGCAUUCAGAGGUCAUUUCCACAUCUUCGGUCCAUCCCCAUAUUUUCAUCCCCGGUGGCCAGUGUGGCUGUUUUCGAACUAACGUGACUUAUAACACACGUUUUCAUAGCCGAACACGUGUCCGAAGGCCAUUUUCAAGUGUCUAGUCUGACACCCACAUUUUUGUCCCCGGUGGCCGGUAUGGCUAUUUUUGUGCUCCCGUCACCUAUAACACACAUUUUCAUGGUCGAACACACGUCCGGAGGCCAUUUUAAGUUGUUCGGUCCAUCCCCACAUUUUUUACCCCGGUGGUCGGUGUGGCCAAUGUUUUCUUGGUCGAACACGCAUCCGGAGGCCAUUUUCACUUGUUCGGUUCGACACUAACAGUUUCAUCCCGGUGGCCGGUGUGGCUAUUUAUCGUUCUCCCAUGACCUAUAACACACAUUUUCAACACUAACACUUUCGGAGGCCAUUUUCAAUUGUUCGGUCUGACACCAAUGUUUUGGUCCCCAGUGGCCGGUGUGGCCGUUUUCAACCUCCCGUGACCUAUAACACACAUUUUCAUAGCUAAACACGCGCCCGGAGGCCAUUUUCAAGUGUUCGGUCUGACACCCACAUUUUCGUCCCCGGUGACCGGUGUAGCUCUUUUUGGCCUUCCAUGACCUAUAGCACACGUUUUCAUGGCCAAACACACGUCUGGAGGCCAUUUUUCACUUGUUUGGUGCAUCCCUAGUUUUUGCUCCAGUGCUAAUGUGGUCGUUUUUAGGCUUCGACCUAUAGCACACAUUUGCAUGGUUGAACACGCGUCCAGACGUCAUUUUCACUUGUUCGGUCCAUCCCCCACGAUUUCAUCCCCGGUGGCCGGUGUGGCCGUUUUUGGGCUCCCAUGACCUAUAACCCACGUUUUCAAGGCCGAACUCGCGUCUGGAGGCCAUUUUCACUUGUUCAGUCCAUCCCACAUGUUCUCGUCCCCGGUGGCCGGUGUGGUCAUUUUCAGGUUCCCGUGACCUAUAAUCCUCGUUUUCAUGGCUGAACACACGUCCGAAGGCCAUUUUCGCUUGUUCAGUCCAUCCCCCAUGUUUUCGUCCCAGGUGGCCAGUGUGGCCGUUUUUGAACUAACGUGACCUAUAACAUACGUUUUCAUAGCCGAACACGUGUCCGAUGUCCAUUUUCAAGUGUUCGGUAUGACACCCAAGUUUUCAUUCCUGAUGGCUGGUGUGGCCAUUUUCGGGCUCCCGUGACCUAUAACACAUAUUUUCAUGGCUGAACAUGCGUCCAAAGGCCAUUUUCAUUUGUUCAGUCCAUCCCCCACGUUUUCAUCACCGGUGGCCGGUGUGGCCAUUUUAGUGAUCCCGUGACCUAUAAAACACGUUUUGAUAGCCGAAGACGUGUUUGCAGGCCAUUUUCAAGUGUUCGGUUUGACACCCACGUUUUCGUCCCCGGUGGCCGGUGUUGCUGUUUUUUGCCUUCCAUGACCUAUACACGUUUUCGUGGCUGAACACGCGUUCGGAGGCUAGUUUCACGUUUUCAUCCCUGACGGCUAGUGUGGCCAUUUUCGGGCUCCCGUGACCUAUAACACACAUUUUCAUGGCCAAACACAAGUCCGGAUGCCAUUUCCAGUUGUUCAGUCCAUCCCCCACAUUUUCAUCCUCGGUGGCCGGUGUGGUAGUUUUUGGCCUCCCGUGACCAACAACACACAUUUUCGUAGCUGAACACAUGUCCGGAGGCUAUUUUCAAGUGUUUGGUCCUACACCCAUCUUUUCAUCCCCGGUGGGUAGUGUAGCCAUUUUUUAUCUUCCGAAACCGAUAGCACACGUUUUCACGAGCAUGGCCUGUGAGGCUUAGCUUCUCGUAACCGUAGGUCAUGGCAGGGUUUGAUCGGUCAGGAGGCUGAAGAGUAAGUUACUUUGGGUAGUCAGUGGAAUGGGAUGCCCUUUCAUUUGGGCGAAGUGUGUGAUCGCACGAAAGUAAAGAGCAGGUGGUACUGCACCCUCGUGGAGCCCCCGAGCGACCCAAGCUAAGAGUGCUCGGGCUGGGGCGCUAUAGGAGCGAGUAUCAAAUGGAAACAACUGGUAAAACCAAGCUAGGGAAAUAAACAAUGUAACUGCUCAAUGUUCCAUGUGUUGGUGAGGAUGUUGCCGUCGUCGUCCUUCAGUCAGUAGGCGCAUGGUCGGAUCACCUCGGUGACUGUGUACAGUCCUUCCCAUGGCGGAGAGAGCUUGUUCUUAUUAUUGGUCGACUAGGUCCUUCGAACCACAAGGUCACCAAUCUCGAGGGUCCUCCCUCGGAUUUUCCUCUCGUGGUACCUACGAAGGGUUUGCUGGUAACGAGCGGAGUGGAUGAUGGCCAUCUCAUGUGGCUCCUCGAGCAGGUCGACUAUGUCCUGCUAAGCUUCUGUAGCUCGGUCUUGGUCGAAGGCCUUUACCCUUAGGGCACCGUAAUCGAGGUCGAACGGUAACACGGCUUUGGCUCCGUACACCAAUAAGAAGGGGGUGAACCCUGUGGAUUGGUUUGGGGUCGUUCUAAGGCUCCAGAUUACCACUGGGAGCUCUGUGACCCAUCACCCGGUGUGCUUUUUUAGCCGGUCGAAAAUGCAAGGCUUGAGCCAUUGGAGGACCAUGCCAUUCGCUUGCUUGACCUGAUCGUUGGUUUGUGGGUGCCCGACCGAGGCCCAGUCGAUCCUAAUGUCGUAUCCAUCAUAGAAAUCCAGGAACUUCUUGCUAGUGAAGUUUGUUUCGUUGUCUGUGAUGAUGCAGUUAGGGACGCUAAACCGAUAGAUGAUGUCAAGGAAGAACUCGACUGCGUCUUGUGACCGGAUGUUGGUGAUGGGCUUCGCCUCAAUCCACUUGGUGAAUUUGUCCACCGCCAUGAGUAGGUGAAUGAUGCCACUCGGGGCCUUUUUAAGGGACCCAACUAUGUCGAGGCCCCAGACCGCGAAUGACCAGAUGAUGGGGAUGGACUAGAGCUCUUGCGUCGGCAGGUGAGUUUUCUGAGCAUAGAACUGGCAGCCUUCACACUUGUGGACCACCUCCUCUACGUCUUGAAAUGUUGUGGGCCAGUAAAAACCUUGGCAAAAGGCUUUCCCGACCAGUGAUCUCAGGGACGCAUGGUGUCCGCAGAUUCUGGCAUGGACAUCAAGAGAAGUUGUUUCCCCUAAUUGGUCGGGAUGCACUUCAUGAGUAUUCCCGAUGGACUUCAUUUGUAACGUUCAUCACCGAUGGCGACAAAUGUCUUGACGCGUCAAGUGAUUCAUCGUGCUUCAAUCCUCUCCAGUGGGAGGACCUCUUCGAGGAUGUAGGCGAGUAACGACGCUCUCCAGUUGGUUGGGUCAUGCACCAUUACGUCAGUGCUUCUAGGUGAGGUCGCCAUAGGGGCAUCAGGGUCGGAGCCCCUGAGCACGCAAUCGGACUGUGACUGGGUUGGGUCCUCUCGGACACGGGCAGAUGGUUCAUGGAGGUCGUUCACGAAGACUCCGUUGGAAGAUGGGCCCCAUCUAGGUGCCAAUUUUGUGAGGAAGUUAGCAACAUCAUUGUCCUUUUGUGGCACAUGAUGUAGCUCGAUCCCUCGGAACUUGUCUUCUAACUUGCAUACAUCUUGACAGUACGCUGCCAUGAGAGGGCUCCUGCAGGAGGACUCCUUCAUGACUUGGUCGACCACUAGCUCCAAGUCGCCGCAGCAUAAAGCCGCAUCUCGCCGAGCUCGAUGGUGAUACGUAGCCUAUUGAUGAGGGCUUCGUACUCCAUGAUGUUGUUCAAGGUUGGAAAAUGGAGACGGAUCGCGUAGCGGAGCCUAUUCCCCUGUGGUGAGAUAAGGACCACUCUAGCCCUCGAGCCAGGUCCCAUGAUCGAACCGUCGAAGUACAUCAUCUAGUACUCGUGGGUGACAUCCAGGGUCAGGAUCUGGACUUCCAUCCACUCGGCGAUGAAGUCGGCCAGGUCCUAAGACUUGAUAGCUAUGCAGGGGACGUACUUGAUGUCAUGGCCCAUGAGCUCAAGCAUGCACUUGGAGAUUCGCCCCAUAGCAUCACGGUUGCAGAUGAUCUCUCCCAGCAGGUACAAGGUGAUGAUCGUGACCUCAUGGUCGGUGAAGUAGUGUCGGAGCUUCCGGGUUGCCAUCAGCAUGACGUACAGAAGGUUCUGGGCUUGGGGUAACGCAUGUUGGCGUCAUGUUGACACCAUGUUUUGACAUACGUCAAACAUGGCGUCAAAAGAAAAUAGAGAUGCCAGCGCAUAGUGGAAGGACAACGGCUAGUGGAAUCGACUGGUAAGGUUGUAGAGGGUUGAGCCGAUAGAGUAAGGCAGAAGCCUAGGCGAUGGGAUCACAGGGGCAUAGCCCAUAGAGUCAGACGAUGCGAGCAGGAGGGUUCUAGCCGAUAGGAAAUGUUGGAGGUUCGGCCGAUGAGGAGCUGGUUUUGGUCGGUAGAAGCCAAGUUCGUUUCUGACUCCUACAUGAGUCAUUUUUAUUUAGAAAGUUUGUUUCUUUAGAGAUAGGUCUUAUGAUUUGUUGUAACCGACUAGGAUUAGAAAUCUUGAUGUAUAGGGUAUAAAUAGGGGCCUUGUAAGGUUUGGAAAAGACACACACAUCAUAAUCAAUACAAAUCUACUAUUUUCGCAAUCUACUUUCAAGUCGACGACUUCGCCAUUGUUUUGUUUUCUUCACGAGUUCUUCCAAGCUGGUUGGGCUGCAUUGCUUCGAUCUCCAGCUAGACUGUAAGUUUCGCGUUUACUGAAUACCUCCUAGGCUUUAACUUUGGGUGCAUUGCUGUCAUUUCGUCUGGAUUUAUUCACAAGUUAUCGAUAUUUACUGGAUCUGCAUGUUUUAUUUGUUAAAUCUUGUUGCUUUAGUUUUUAUCACGGUUAUCCAGCUUAGAACACAUUCCAAUCAGCUUUUUCUUUAUUUCUCAUACUAAUCUACUAUCACCCAGCCGAUUAGAUCUGUUUUAAUUGGUGUUCAUGUAAUGCUAUUUAGGUUGUAUUUUACGCUUCCUUUACAUCUACUACAUCCACAUCGGCUGAUCUAGCCGAUUGUCUUUUCUCGUGUCGGCAGCUCUACGAUACGUCCUGUGGAGCGAUUUAGAAUGCCAGCUGAUUUGCUCUUGUAUUUGACAUUUUACCUGUCCUUUUCAAUCAAUAGGUCAGAUUGACUGGCACACCAUGGAUCGAUAGGGCUACAACCCAAACAGGAGCGAAGCAGAUUCUCCCCGGUUUUGUGUGUUAGUGCGCGGGAGCCGUCUCUCAAUUUUUGCGUCAACACAUCGGUGAGUACUUCACUGAUGAAGUACACCGGUCGCUGGACCUUCAGCGCAUGUCCUAGCUCCUCUCUAUCGACUACAAGGGCAGUACUAACCACGUGGUCGCUUGCCGCGAUGUAGAGGAGAAGGGGUUCUUCCUGCUCGGGAGCGAUGAGGACUAGGGCCGAAGUCAGCAAUGCUUUGAGGCUUUCCAAAGCCCAUUGUGCCUCCUCCAUCCAGACGAAUGCGUCUGCCUUCUUGAGGAGUGUGUAGAGAGGCAUCCGUCGUUCGCCUAGUUGGGAGAUGAACCGGCUCAGGACGGCCAAACAACUAGUGAGCCUCUGUAUGCCCUUGAUGCUGUGUAUGGGGCCCAUGUUGGUGAUGGUCGUGAUUUUUUUGAGGUUGGCUUCAAUGCCGCGCUCGGACAUGAUGUACUUGAGCAGCUUCCCCUUUGGAACCCCGAAAACACAUUUCUCAGGAUUAGUGGGGUUGUGGUGCUGCACUACUCCAGAACAACAACACUGCGGCACGCUUGCUCAAUCAGACGGCAAACCAGCCUGCUCUAGCAUACAACCUCCAUCACCAUCGGCUCCGCAGCCAGCCGUCCAGCGUUAUCAGCAGCAUCCACUAGAAGUCAGCAGGGAGGAUGGUGUUUUGGAUCCUCACAGGGAUGGGUCACCUAUAGUGGUGUACGAUGAGGCAACCAGUGUGUUGCGGCAUGUUGAUUCUUCCCGCCAGUUGACCUAGCCGCAAUAUCUGCAACAUACAUCGGCUAUCCAAUAGCCAAUUGUGGUGCCACAAAUUCAGCAGCAGGUGCCAGUGGGCCAGCCAAUGCUCCAACCUAUGGUCCAGCAGUAGCCGCAACAGGUUGAUUGGGCCGCAAAGAUAGCUGGGGUGAUGCAAGAUCAGUUCGGUCUAAAACCUAAAGUGCAGACCUACACGUACAGAAUGCCGUACCCACCAGCCUAUGACAUGUUGUCGUUCCCUCACCGAUUUCACCAAGUUCUCGGGACAAGAUGAGGCAUCUACGGUGGAGCACGUCAAUAGGUUCAUCAUUCAGUGUGGAGAGUCAGCUGUGCAGGAUGCUCUGAGGGUUCGGCUGUUCUCAUCAUCUCUGUCCGGGUCAGCCUUCCAGUGGUUCACGACGCUUCCACCUAACUCCAUUAUCACCUGGGACAAUCUGGAGAAAUAGUUCCACAAAAACUUUUUUGCUAGGGUUCACGAGAUGAAGCUGACAGAUCUAACUAGUCUCAGGUAGAGGAGUGAUCAAUCGGUGGCCAGUUUCAUCCAACGGUUUAGGGAAGUCAGGAACAAGUGCUACAGUUUGGUCUUGAGCGAUAGCCAACUAGCCAACACGGCUUUUUAGGGGCUUCACAGGAGUUCGAGAGUUUGAGCCAGAUUGUACACCGGUUGUCAAACCAAGACGUACACCCAUUUGAUUAGAGAAAGAAUUUCCAGAAGAAGGUGGCGUACGUGGAGUGUUUGGACUUAGAAGGAGAAGCAGAGGUCAGCUUGGCAGAGUGGGUUAAAGUCCAAAAAGCCGAUCUCUUGCCCGUACGGCAAGAAGGAGCCUGAGAAAUUCGAGUUCAAUAUUUCCAAGGCCAAUAAGAUCUUUGAUUUGUUGCUGCAAGAAGGGAAAAUCAAGCUCUCACCAUACCACACGAUCCCAUUGACUGAAGAACUUAAGAAGAUCAAGUACUGCAAGUGGCACAAUGCCACAUCUCACAACACCAACGAGUGCAAAGUCAUCUGCCAGCAGAUCCAAUUAGCUAUUGAGCAAGGGAGGCUCAAGUUUAAAGCUCCUUCAAAACCAGCAAAGCCGAUGAAGAUCGACCAACAUCCAUUCCCAACAAAUAUGGUAGAAGUCGGAGGCAAAAGCGCACCUCCCACAAAGGUGCUGACAUCAGAACCAGCCAAGAGGAGUGGAGAUGUGGACCCUAGAGUAUAGGUGUCGGCCAACGAUGUCAAGUUGAACAGUCAGUUGCAAGAAGGUUAAGCUCAACAAGGCCUCAAUGGCCGAUAUCCUCCCAAGAGUUUCUCAAUAAGUUAUAGAGAUAGCAAGACCAGGCAAGGCACCGGGAAGAGAUGACACAUCACCAUGAAAACCACUGGAGAUGCCCAUUCUUCAUAUACUGCUAGGAGGAGCGGAUCAAGAUACCAUCGAUUGACAACUACCCCGAAUGCAAUGGGUCAUACCAAGGCAGCCGAUUGUCCAAAAGACCGUGCUUUGAUGAUAGGAAUCAAAAGCCGAUCAAUAGGGAUAGACCUUACCAUGAUGACAGGUGCAUCCCAAUGCGUGAUUGACUGGGGGGGCAGGAUCAGUAUACAUGAUUGGCUGGAGGGCAGGCUAAAUGUUCCCAACAGACUAGAGGAAAGAGCCAAUGCAAGAGUCCUCGAUGAAGAGCCUUUGUGUCGCGAACCAGAGCGGCGGCGUGCAUCAUGAGACAAAGCUAUAGAAUAGCCUAGAUGGUGCCCAGCGGGUUUGACUAAGUCCCAGAAGAGACGGGUUCAAUGCAUGCGACAAUGGGAGUAUCAAGAAGAGGAACAAAGGUGUGCUUCAGAAAGGAAAGGGGUCAAAUCCUAGGUGUGGCACAUCAAAGACAAAGCCGAUGACGAAGAUAACAAUCCCAAAUCAGCUGUUGAUGUCAACAUGGUUUUCGUAUUACCGAUGGAAUUCAUGGCUCCAACCAAUCACAAGGCAACAGAAGCAGAACAGGGGAUGGCACAAUUAACCUUGGAGCUGAUGUCAGCCACCUUUGAGAAACCCAAAGAUGAAAAACGUCGGCACCUGAAAGCCCUCUUCCUCAAGGGGCAAAUCGACGGGAGGCUGAUUACCAAGCUUCUGGUGGACAGUGGUGCAGCCGUGAACAUCAUGUCGUAUGCCAUGUUCCGCAAGCUCGGCAAAGGCGAAGAAGACUUGAUCAAAACAGACAUGAUGCUGAAGGACUUCAAAGGAAACAUCUCUCCGGCCCAGGGGGCACUCUGCGUCGACCUCACCAUCGGCAGUAAGACCCUAGCUACUACUUUCUUUGUUAUUAAUGGUAAAGGGUCCUACAAUAUGCUUCUGGGUCAAGAUUGUAUUCACGCCAACUACUACAUCCCGUCUACAAUGCAUCAAUGUCUCAUCCAAUGGGUCGGCGACUCAGUUGAAGUGGUCACCGCUGAUUCUUCUUUCAGCGUCGUUGCAGCCGAUGCACAAUAGUAGAAUUGCAAAUAAGUCAGCUGCAUAUCUGGCAGAGUCUAGGAUACAGAUUUCUUGAAGAUGUCCAAUUUUGGACUACAGCGAUCCAAGUAGUCGGCUCUGAAGAAUUGUCCUGAUGGAUGAGUUCACCCAAGAAGAUGGGAAGCUGGAGCAUGAGUUUAUGUCAGUCGACGAGUUAGAGAUGGUAGAGCUUGAAGAUGGGAGCAAGCCAAAGCAGACAUAUAUUAGUGCUAAGUUAGAUCCUGAGUAUAAGCAUGAACUAAUUAAGUUGUUAAAAGAAUUCAAAGAUUGUUUUGCUUGGGAGUAUCAUGAAAUGCCUGGUUUAGAUCAAUCUAUUGUCGAACAUCAGUUGCUAAUAAAAUCAGGAUAUCGGCCGUAUCAGCAACCUGUGUGACGUUGUAAUCCGAAGAUUUUACUUGAUAUUAAGGCUAGGAUCACAAGAUUAAUUGAUGUGGGGUUUAUUCGGCAAUGUCGGUAUGCUGAGUGGAUUUUUAAUGUGGUUCCCGUAUACAAGAAGAAUGGAAAACUGCACAUUUGUAUUGAUUUCAGGAACCUCAAUCAAGCCACACCAAUGGAUGGUUGUCUGAUGCCGACAGCUGAUGUGUUGAUAGAUGCUACUUUAGGAUACAAAGUCAUUAGUUUCAUGAAUGGUAACGUUGGAUAUAACCAAGUAUUGAUGGAGAAAGAAGAUAUUUCCAAGACGGCUUUCGGGUGUCCUGGACACAACGGUUUAUUUGAAUGGGUGGUCAUGACCUUCGGAUUGAAAAAUGCUAGGGCUACAUAUCAGCGAGCCAUGAAUUACAUUUUCCAUAAACUUAUCGGCAUCCUAGUGGAAAUUUAUAUCGAUGAUGUCGUAGUCAAAUCGAAAGGGUAUCGAGAACACUUAGCCGAUUUGCGUGAAGUCCUGGAAUGCACAAGGAAAGAUGGGUUGAAAAUGAAUCCGAAUAAAUGUGCUUUUGGCGUGUCGGCUCGAAAGUUCUUGGGGUUCAUGGUUCACGAGUGAGGCAUUGAAAUUAAUCAGAGGAUCAUUGGUUCUAUUAACAAAGUUGUGGCUCCGUAAAAUAAGACUGAGUUGCAGUCAUUAAUCGAUAAAAUUAAUUUCAUCCAAAGAUUCAUAUCGAACCUGUCUGGAAGGAUUCAAUCUUUCAGCCUGUUGCUUAAACCAAAAGUCGAUCAAGAGUUCGUUUGGGGGUAGAGCAGCAAAAUGCAUUGGAUGAUAUCAAACAAUACCUGGUGUCACCUCCUAUAUUGGUUCCUCCACAAGCUAACAAGUCGUUCAGGUUAUACCUCUCAGCCUAUGAGUGUGCCAUUGGGUCGGCUCUUGUCCAAGAACUUGAAGGGAAGGAACGAGUAAUUUAUUAUGUGAGCAGAAGACUCUUGGAUGCAGAGACCAGGUAUUCCCCAGUUGAGAGGUUGUGUCUAUGCCUAUAUUUCUCCUGCACUAAGCUUAGACACUAUUUAUUAUCCGCCGAGUGCGUUGUGGUAUGCAAGGAUGAUGUGGUCAAAUACAUGUUGCCAUUGCCAAUUCUAAAUGGAAGGAUUGGGAAGUGGAUUUUGACUCUGUCGGAGUUUGACCUAAAGUACGAAUCAACUAAAGCUGUCAAAAAGGGCAAGUCAUGGCCGAUUUUGUUACUCAUCAUUGUAGGCCAGAGGUUGCUAUUGUUGAGGUAGCCCAAUGGACUUUAUUCUUUGAUGGAUCUUCAUGUGGGAUUGGAUCAGGAAUCGGCAUAAUCCUUAUAUCACCUUGGGAGGCGAACUACAAGUUCUCACUGCCAGUUGAGGCUUCUGCUACCAACAACCAGGCCGAGUAUCGAGCCAUUUUGAAGGGGAUCCAAUUGCUGAGAGAAAUCAAAGCUGAUGCUGUUGAGAUUUUUGGGGAUUCUAUGCUUAUCAUCAACCAGCUGACUGGAGGAUGUGAAUGCAGAGAUGAUAUUUUAAGAAUUUACUAUGAACAGUGCCUUCAGUUACUCAAAGAAUUCAAGAGUGUGGUUAUUGAGCAUAUUCCCAGAGAUUACGAUGAGGAUGCUAACAAGCUCGCCGCAUGCUUCUGGUUAUCGACCGAUCUGUGGUGUUAUGGCCUUAGAGUUAAUGGCCGAUGAUUGGAGGAAAGAAAUAGUAGAUUACUUAAAAGAUCCCUCCAAGAAAGUCGAUAGGCGAGUUCGAUUUCAGGCUUUGCAAUAUGUGUUGCUUGAAGAUGACCUUUAUUAUCUGAUGAUUGAUGGGGUCUUGCUUAAAUACCUCAGGGUUGAAGAAGCCAAGAAACUGAUGGGCGAAAUUCAUGAAGGGGUUUGCGGAGCUCAUCAAUCGGCUUUCAAGAUGAAGUGGAUGAUUAGAAACAAGGGGUAUUAUUGGCCGACUAUACUUGAAGACUGCUUUAAAUACUAUAAAAGUUGUCAAGAUUGUCAGAAGUUUGGCAAUGUGCAAAGAGCCCCGGCAUCGGCUAUGAAUCCUAUAAUAGAGUUGUGGCCAUUUAGGGGGUAUCGAUUUGAUCGGCCAGAUUUAUCCACCUUCAAGCAAGGGUCAUAAGUUCAUACUAGUAGCAACGAAUUAUUUCACUAAGUGGGUUGAAGCAAUUCCCUUGAAAAAUGCAACAUCGGCAAGCAUGGUUGAUUUUGUCAAAGAACACAUCAUCUAUCAAUUUGGUAUCCCUCAAACUAUCACUACCGAUCAAGGGACAAUGUUCACUUCGAGAGAGUUUGAGGAAUUCGCUACUAGUAUGGGAAUUAGGUUGUUGAAUUCUUCUUUGUAUUAUGCCCAGGAAAAUGGUCAAGCUGAAUCAUCCAACAAGGGGAUCAUUAAAUUAAUUAAGAGGAAGAUCGAAGAGCAGCCAAGGCGCUGGCACACUACGUUGAGCGAAUCCUUAUGGGCGUAUCAAAUGGCUUGUCACGGAGCCACAAAAGUAUCCCCUUAUCAAUUGGUUUAUGAACAUGAAGCAGUUCUACCUUGGGAGUUAAAGACUGGGUCUAGGCGUGCAUCGUUGCAAGACCAGUUAACAGCCGAAGAAUACUCUACUUUGAUGAAAGGGGAUUUGGAAGACCUAGCGGGUCAUCGACUAAGGUCUUUGAUCAGCAUCGAAGAAAAUAAGAAGAGGGUGGCUAGAUGGUAUGACAAAAAGGUCAAGGUCAAGGAGUAUUCCCAAGGAGAUUUAGUCUGGAAGCCGAUAUUGCCGAUUGUGUCUAAAGAUCCCAAAUUUGGGAAAUGGUCGCCUACAUGGGAGGGACCGUAUCGGAUAAACCGGUGUGCUCCUGGUAAUGAGUAUAUUUUGGAGACACUUGAAGGAGAGGAGUUCACAAGGGCUCUAAAUGGAAAAUACUUUAAGAAGUACUACCCGAGUAUAUGGGUAGAUGCAUAGCCGAUGGUGUGAUGCCUCGGACUAACAUAGACGAUAUUGAGGGUAUCGCCUUUAGUCUAAAAAGAAAAGAAGGAAAAAGGCAGACACAUGGAUAGCCGAUAAAAUCAGCUGUGAUAUGGCCGAUGUGAUACAAGUCACCCUUAGAACAAAUAAUACUUGCAACACUUCGGACACAACAGGUUAUUACAUCAAAGUCAUCAUUAUAUCAUGGCCAAGACAUUCCAUUACAGGCAAAUCUGGAUGGCUCCCUAUUGAUAUCGGCAAAUACUUACUCCCUUUGGCGAGAUGUGCCUAGGAGACGCCCCAGUUGAGCCUUAGUAGUGCCGAUUUCCCUGUUGACCUGGCCCAAUUCCAGUAGAAGUUGAAUUUUCCUAGCCUCCAAACUGGCCAACUUGUCUUCGAGCAAUACACGGGGGGGGGGGGGGGGGGGGGGGGGAGAGAGGUUGAUGGCUUCGAAGGAUUGGCUGCUGCAUUUGCUGGUUUGAGCCUGCAGCUUUGAUUGAGGACAAGAUCGAUUUGAUGUCCAUAGGUAGAUGGUCUCUGAUUUGAUCACGAUGAGCUUGGAUCAAAGCUUUGUCCACCUAGGUGAGCGGCUCAUUGGAAUGAAGGAUCUGGAUGACCUAUUCAAGCUGUUCGUCCACUUGAUUUGGCUGGGAAAGAGAACAAAGAGUCAAGGUUUGGUUCAUGAUAACCAAUUCGGAAUAGAGAAAACAUAGCAAUACCUGGUUGACUGAAGAAGAGGAAGCCAUCUUGGUCGCGUGAAUUCAAUCUAGUUCGAAAACUCGCAGUGUGUGCGGUCUUGAAGGUGACCUCAAGGAAGGAGUAGGGGUCUGUAUUUAUAAGACGAAUAGACGUGUGAAAUGUGAACAAUGGUCGGUCAAAAGGGGCUUUAAAUGGGACUAGCCAUUGGCGAGUCAGAAAGAGCUGUGGAGAAACGGUCAAAUUACAUUCAAGAUGGAUAUUGAGCAUUGACAUCACGAGAGGAAUGUACCAAGUACCAGAAUACAUAAAAGCUAAUAACGUUCGUUACAAUUAUGCUAGAAGAGUUUGAAUGGCAUUUAUCGCACGCAGGCGAAUCUGAUUGGCAGCCUUUAUCUCCCUACGGUCGUCAUCGGCUGAGCCGGGUAUGUCAGUUAUGCUCCGAUGUAGCUGAAUAGCUUGAUGCGCAUGUGCUUGCUUUUCCUGCUCUAAUUGCUUGAGGACUUCUAGAAGUUGGGCGAGCUUGGUUUCUUCGACGAUGAUGGCAUCGCCGAUGCUUUUCAAUUCCUUCAUCAGUUUUUACCUCCUUGCUUUGAGCCAAUCAAUUUCACCAACAAUAUUGGGGCGAGAAUCCCUAAGAAAGCCGAUCUUGGGAUGGAUUUCAUCGGCCUAAAGCUUAUGGAAUUCCUUGUCCUUAUGCAAUUGUUCCUGUUUGGCGCGAUCGGCUGUGCGGCGUAGAGCCCUUAACAUCGGGACUUGGUGACUCCCUAUGUAGGCUGCGGGGAGGAUGGCUUCUUCUUUGUCUUCUAGGAUCUGGCCUUUGAGGUUGCGGAGGAUGUCGUGCAUCGGUUGUGCAUCUUUGACUAGUUGGCUGAUGCCUUGCUGAAGGAAGUCGAGUAUAUCUUGAAGUUUGGCCUUUAGGACAUCAGGAAUAGAUUCUGGAACCAGUGGGUGUGACAAAACUUCUUCUUCUUCGUGGAUUUCCCCUACCUGAAAUGAGAAGAGGCUGCUGUCUGGAGUGUCCUGAGCCUGCAAGGAUCAAUAAGGUAUAAGCUGAUGAAGCUAGUUGAUUGGAAUCAAUUAAUGUGCAAAAGAGUGUUCACCAUCUUCCAUUGGGUUUCUCUGGUUUGUGUUGGUGAUUCCACUAGGGACUCUUGUUGAACUGGUUCUGCGGAGGGUGGCAUGUUCUUGGAAGGUACAUUGACUGCUAGUGUUUCAAGAAUAGCGGCCGACACUUCUGGGAUAGUCUGUAUAGAAAACCGAACGAUUCUUAGCAACGGAGGUUGAGAAGGGUUGGAAUAGAGUAUGCAUUUUACCUCAAGUGUUGGAGUGAUGGCCGAUGCAGUCUCCUGUGUAUCUUUAGCCUGUGGAUCAGCCGAUGAAGGAGGCGGAGGCAUAGCCGAUUCUAGGAUGGGCUCUUCUGGUGCCGAUUGUGCGGAAGGCUAAAAGAAACAAGAGUCAGUACUAGCAAAGUAUCUAGAAAAAAUUAAAUAAGUGAGAUUACCUGCAUAGCCUCUAUCAAAAGUGAUGUAGCUACUGACGCUACUUCCGCUAGAACAGCCGUUUGGGGUGCCACCGCUGCCGUCGGAUCAGUCUCCUGGGCUGACGCUGCUGUCGGCAGGACGGAUGCCUAUGCUGAUUUGGAGCCUUUUUGAGGGUGCUUCUUACGGGUAGCCUUCUCAAGAAUAGAGACUUUGCGCUUUUGGCCUACGGCUAUGUCCAUUAAAGAUGGCGCAUCGUAGCCAAUGAGGGGGUCAGCCAAUGGAGGGACGUAAGCAAUUGGCUUGUUGCUCUAGCUAACUCUUGAAGGUGUAAAGUGAACACCCUGUAAAGGGCAAAAGUGUUAGUGGGAAGAAAAUAUCUGUAAUGAAAGGAGAUUCAGCGGAAUCAAUGGUGAUUACCCCUCCAUCAGGAUCAUUGAAGUCUAGGUCGAACUUCCUACAAUAAAUUCUUGUUGCCACAUAGAAAAGAUGAUUCUUCC